UUUUUUUUUUUCUUUCAUAAAAAUUCCCCAUUUUUUUGGAUUUUAGCCCAUGUUAGUUUUUGGGUAUAUUAGUUAAUCAGAGGAUAGUUAUGCCUAACAAAAACUGAAGGAGACAACAAUAACUGUUUCUUAUGUGACAUGGAAUUUAUAUUGUAUUAGUCAUGUGAUUGCUUUGCUUCAUUUCACUAAAAAGCCUUAAAUUGCUCAAGAAUCAAGGUUAAGAGAAAUUUAUAGACACCUUAAUGUUCCUCCUAAGAAUAAAACUGUGAGAACCCAUGAGUUAAAACAAACAAUACUUGGAUUGUAGUGAGCCUAACAAUGUUAAUAAAUUUAAGGUCAGAACAGUUUUCUACGGUAACAAGGUGAGAAAGGUUCGGGAGUCAUAUUGCAAGUGGAGUGGAGGAAAUUACAAUUUAGAAUGACCUGACCUAAACUAAUAUUGGCUUUGUGAUCAAGGUCUUUCCUUCUGCUUGACUGCAUUCAAAAUUGGAUGUGUGUGUAGGCAUGAAUGAUUGAUUUUCUAUGCAAAUGCAUUUAUGUUUUCUCUCUCUCAUUUCUUUUGAUUCGUUCUCUUGAAGAUGUACACUUUUUAACACUUCCCUAGCUAGUCCUCCUGUGCUUUGGUCGUUUGUAACUGCUGGCUACUUCUAUUUACAGAAAAUUGCCCAACUAUUGAACCAGAUUGCACAAAUGAACGAAAUACUUAUAAAUCGUCAUAAAGCUCUAGCCGCUAAAGUGGAGUAAUGAUUGCCUACAGGUUGUGAAUAUGGUUGGUAGCUCACAUUCACAAGGAACAGUGAUCAAGAGCUUCACCCUCCAGUGAUGCCGCUUUUAUCUUUCUAUUUUGAAAUAUCACUGCUUACCUGUGCACUUUUCAAUUUGCUUGUAUUCUGCAUGACAGAGUUAGGUUGUAAUUGACAGAAGAACUAAUUGUGAUUCUUCGCACAUGUUCCUGCUACAGCUGUGCUGAGUGAUUGAACAUGUACUCAGAACUGGCAUCUCCAAAGCAAAUGGCUAUCGGAUUGAAGUGCCAACUUUGAGGAAGGAAGUUCUCCAUUCCUCAUGAUUCGUCAAUGACUAGAUCAGCAGGGAAAUGGCUGAACACUCUAACAGUGCUAAUGCUUAUUCAGCUAAGAUCUUUGUUCUUUAGAUGUUUAGCGAAUGUUUCAUUUAUUCAGGCCCUUGAUGUUUGGUGAGCUUUUGGAAAAUCCCAUUUUUUUAUUUACUAUAUUUGAGACACAACCCAUAGAACAACCAAGGACGUGUCAUUCUACAGCUAUAAUUAAUUGAAUGAACAUAACAUGCCCAUUGUUAAAUUGCGAAAAAAUAUUUUCUCGCGGAAUUGCGGUUUUUUGUUUCAUUUUCUAUACUUUUAUUCAAAAAUAGCCAUGCAAUAAAAAAUUCCACUGUUCAUCAUAUGUGGAAAAUUUUGCAGGGCAUUCUCUUAGUUAACAAUGAUGACGCUGGACCCAAAAGGGCAGAGAUGAUGACGAAAUAGAAUAUACAUGCAUGAUGCAACCAUGACUACCUUGUGCAUACAAUAUGACAUAAGGAAAAGUCGGAGGUCACUUACGUGUGUUUCAUUUAGAGAGAAAAAAAUAGAGAAAAUGGAAAUAAUGAAGAAAUGAUUUUAAAAGAAGUAAUAAAUAAAACUAAAUGUGCAGUUUUAGAGUAGAAAUGAAUGAGAUAAAUAAACUCAAUGUUAAUGAAAAUACCCAAUGUUAUUUUUAUACUCGUCGUUGUUUCAAUUAUCAAAAUAUCUUUAAUUUAUUUGGUAUUCUAUUUAAAAAAAAUUAUAAUUCUAUUUUGUGAUAGUUAUUUAGCAUUAAAAAGAAGAAAACCUGCAUUUUUUUAAAUUGAAUUCAAAAUAAUAUUGAUUUUUUUUUACUUCAAUUUUUAUUUAUUUCCAAAUUAUUUAAUAAAUAUUAGGACAGUCACAAGUGAAUAUGCAUAUUAUCCAGCAGAAACAAUGAUAAAAUACAAAUUUUAUAACCGUUAAUUAUCGAUAAUGGAGUAUAAGUUUCUACUUAGAAAAUAAGACAAAUAUCAUCAAACUAGGCUUGUUUCAUCGCAAUCUCUACUCUUCUCUACUCUACCAAACAAGGAGGUGAAUUUCAACAAAGCCAUAAACUGUGCAAUUAUUUGUUAGUACAAUGAAGGCGACACCUUGCAUGUCAUUGAAUUAACUUAUUUUGCAAUUAUAACUUAUAAGAGAUAACGAUGGGGAUACCUAGAGAGAAGUCAUGUGGUGUUAGGAAUCUCUUAAAAGCAUCCAACUAAAUUAAGAGUGUUUUGAGUUACCAUUACCGUCAGACCAGCAUGAUUUGAUACUUUAUGAUAAGUGGAAAUUUAUGUAAAUCUCAUUAACCCUCUUUAUUAUUGUGGUAAGCAUAUAAUUCCCACAAAUGAGAACGAGGUUAUAAAAAAAUAGUACCAAUGAAUGUGCUAAUAGCCUAAUAUUAAAACUUUUGUAGCAUAUUAUUACUAAUAGUAUGUUCUUAGUCUUUGCCAUCCAGCCAUAAAUUAUAACCUGUCCUAGUAUUUGUUUUCUUUAGCUCUGUGGUACUCGUAAAUGGGAAGAGAAAAAAUUAUUGGAAGGUGAAAACAACUUGUCAAGAAAAUACAAGGUUUUAUUUCUGUACCUACAAUUGUAGAGUGCGCAGAAAUGUAUAAUAGGAACGAAAGCUUCAUCUGACAAAGAAAUAUGCUAACAUUAACGUGUAAGAAAGCAGCGCCUCGUGAGACACGAUAAUCACAUAUCAAGCGGCUCUAUCGGUCACUGUGAAUGAUACCUUUUCGGCUCCAAGACAAAACUGUGUUGCAGUUAAAAGAUGUUGGUGUGUCUGUCUGGUAUAAGAUAUUUAUCCUGUUGUUACAUGUCAAAGAGCACUCCUAACAUUCUGAAUUCUCUGUUACCACGAGGGUUAUGAAUCCAAAACAUUGUCCAAAUAAAUAUAUCAUAAAAAUUUACUUCGAAUCAUAAUUCAGACAAACUAUCACACACUUACAUUGUUGAAGAUCAUACCUUUGUGCUUUCUCUUGGAAUUUGGAAACGCACAUUUGGGAUCAGCAGAUUAAAUAUAUCAGAAACAGAAACAGAAAGUGGUGGUUACCUCGUGUUACAAAUCACAACGAUAUCAAGAGGACAUGGACGUAUAUUAAGUUCGUGAAUUCAUUUAAUGUCACAAAAGCCCAAAUACAAAGGAAGCUCAGUAUACAGCAGAUGAGUAAAUAAAAUUUGUUUGCUGAUUGUUCAAACUCAUAAAAAAGAAGAUAAAUUACGAAAGAAUUCUAUCCUACUAUUCUCAAAAGAAGUACCAAGACAACAGAAAAAGCAGAAGUUACAUUUGAACUGUCCCCAAAUGAAAUUCCAGUUCUAAAUAAUUACUGUCUAUGAUACCACCGUUGAACAGCAUUUCUUACUAGCUCUUCAAUCCCUUGCUUUCCGUAGAAUGCCUCCGAAUAUCAAAUUGGUCUACAAACUCCAAAGGAGUAACAGUCUCAUUUCUGAUCCUCUUGAUCUUGGGGCUCAACAGACCACGAUGCCUGAACCCAUAGAGCUUAAGCACCUGAUUAUCAGCAAAAUUGUAAGCCCUCUCCAUGCUACUGAGGCACCUCUCCACAGGAUAAUCUCCAUAGCUCCCACAGGGUUUACACCCGACAAAAUGUGUCACAAACGGCCAUCUCUCAUCCCCCAACCCGGGGUGAUACUUCUCAAUCAUCUCCUCAUACCGAUCAACCAACCCUGCCCAGUAACCGUGCAAAUAGAAGGAAUUUUCAAGAAACACCUUAUCCAUCCACUUCUCCUUCUUGGACAGCAGCAAGUAUAUCAAUGCAGACUGAUCGUCGGCCUCAAAUGCCGGCCUCCCCUUGAGAUUGGCCGUCAAGAUCUUGCCGGCCUCCUCGCGAACGGGCCCCUUGGGGCCCAUGGGAGCCCAAUCAUCAAGCAAAUCCAAAGACCACUGACAGUUCCUAAACAGAAAACUCCCAGUAUUCACCGCAAUCCAAGACUUCUGGUCAAACAACAAAUCAGGGUAUCCAUGAAGAACCAAAUUAUACGCAUCGUACUUAGGCAUAGGAAGCUCAAACACCAUAUCAGUGAAAAAAGCAUCACUAUCCAUCCACCAAAUCCACUCAACCUCGGGAUGUGACAACAUCAACCUCCGAAUCAUAGGCAACUUAGCCCAGUAGCCAGCAAGUUCCACAUCCAAAUGAGCCAAAUUGUACACAAUUUCAAUCCCGUGUAAUCUACAGUAAUCAAUCUUGUUCUUAAUGGACUUCAAGAGGUAGUGAUCUCCAAUAGGGUUAUCACAGGGUUUGGGAGGGGAACCAGUGAGGAGCAAGAUGCGAGGUUUACCUCUGAUGGAAUUAGGGUAUUCAGGGUUUUGACUGAGCCAAUUUUGGCGUUCUUGGUCCCAAUUAUCGAUUUUGGGGCCAAGGGUGAAGGUAGCGUUGGGGUUGAAGGGUUGCUGGUCGUCGGGAUCGUUGGGGUCGGCGUCGGAUCGGAUCUCAGCGAGGAUGCGGUUGGUCUCCUCGACAAGGUUCUGGUUGACGGCUUCGGCAUCGGAGGAACCAAGGUUGACGCCGAUGGUGCCGCGGAGGACGAGGAUGGUGACGAAGCCGCAGAGGAUAGUGAUCUUGAUGUUGUUGAAGGUCUUCUGGAUCUGGCGGCCGCGGGGAAGCGCGGUGGCCCGGCCUCGGGCGUUGGAGGUGGGUAAACCGGCGCUGGUGCUGCGCUUGUGGUGAUUGUCUUGCCCCAUGUUGGCACGAGAUUUGGGGGAUUCACCUGAAAGGAAUCAGUGAAAGGUGUUGUUUGAGAAAUGCUGCAUAAAUAAAGGGUGGAGGCUAGAGAGCGGAGGGUGUUUGUCUCCUCGGAUCCAGGUUUACAAACAAAAUCAUUGGUUUGUUUUUAAGGAGAUGAAAGUAAAGGUAGAUUGAAGGAACACAGAAAGUGAGAAAGACGUGUUUUUCCUUAUUCUUAGAUACAUUCAUCUUUAACACUUAUAAAUAACUAAUAAUACUAAUAAUAAUAAUAAUAUUUUUCUUUUAUUUUCGAACAUCAUGGCUGGUUGUUUCCGCCACUUGAGUUGAGUUCCGACAUCCCACACGGUCAGAGGUAAAAUAACUAAGCAACAGACAAAACUAAAAACCCUUAAAAAAUCAAUUAUGCGGUUAAAUAUGAUAAUAUUAACUUAUCAAUCGGAUAAUAUCUACUUCCAAUUCGGAAAAACAAUAUCCUUUUUAUCGUUUAUGGAAAUACAUUAUAUUACCGACAAUUCAAAUUUUCAUUGAAUAAACAAUAAAAAAAUGUUAUUACUUUUUUGACGAUGAAAAACACACUUUAUUCUGGUAACCCUAAAAUUUAAUUAAUAUACAUUAUUAUUAUUAUAAGAUUUUUAUAUUGUUAUUUAAUUAUAUGUUAUCUUGUAUGUUAAAUUAUUAUUUUUGUAAUAACUAUUUUAAAAGUUGCAUUGGACUAAUUUUUAAUUAUUAUAUGUUCUGCCACUUUAAAUAUGGCUUUAGAUGGAAAGUGUAUAUAUGAAAUUAAAAGGGGAUGCAAAAUGCAUAAGAGAAAGUACUUAACAGUUAAAUAUGGAAAAAUAAAAUUAUUAAAUAUUUUAUUUUUUAAAAUAAUUUUUUGAUUGAUAUAAAAAUAUUCCACAUAAUUUAUUUAUUAAUGUCUACAUUCUUUUCCGCUUAUUCAAAUAUACAUAAAGAAUUUUUUUUUCACUUAUUUUUUAUAUCUAUACAGAAGACGUAUGGUUUAUAUCAGGCGGAUUUUGUAUAUAAGGUAACCAUCAUGUUUUGCAUCAAGUAUCUUGUUUUCUUUUUUACAUGUAUCUAAACGUUUAAUAUUUUCGCUGUUAUUUACAAGAAAAAUAAUAAUAUUUAUAUAUAUAUAUAUAUCCCCACUUUUAGUUUAUUUGAUUAUAUUUUUUAAAAUGUUUUAACUUUAAUGAAUUUCUGAUAUUAUUUUAAAAUAUUUUAACUUUAAUAUAGUUAAACAAUUUUCUACUACGUGAAGUUUUUUUUUCUCAUAAAUGAGUACCAAAUAAUAGUAUAAGAUUCAUAGUUACGUGAGCUAAAAAAACUUAUAUUACGCAAUUAAAUAUAUAUUAUUUAUAAAAUAUUUCAAAAUACAUACCUUUUAUAAAAAAAUUAACAAAUAUAUAUAUAUAUAUAUAUAUAUAUAUAUAUUUAACCAAAUACCACAAGAAAGAAAAAAUGAAAAUCAUCUAUAAUAUCAUGUAUUUUCGACACAAUCAUCAUAGAUUUUAAAACAAACACAAAACAAAAAAAUACGAUAAGCUAGUAAUUUUUAAAAAAAUUAAUAAAAUUUUGAAUUUAAGAUAAUACAUUCACAGACAAGCAUUAUACAUGUACUAAACAAUAAAAUAUUUAUAAUUAUCUCAUGGUUCCACAUCUCUCAUAUGAAGAAUCUAUUGAUACCAAAACAUAGAAAUUCAAUUCUACUUCCAAAAGAUCAAUGUAUUGAAAUUAGACUAAAAGACUUGAACAUGUCAUAUUAUUAUAUUCUCAUUAUAACAUAGUCUCCCCUUUAGGAAAUUCAUCCUCAUAUAACACGAGUAAAUCAAUAUGAUUUGCUUUGAUAAGUUAUUUUUCAAAUCUCAUAAUCGAUCAUGUGAAUCUCCUUUGACUCAGACCACCUGAUACUCUUCAUUUAUAUGAUUCUAAGCUAUCUAUAGAGUCAGGAUCGUCCCUUUCAGGAAGUCUCACAAAUUAAUAUAUUCCCCUCACUUGAGCGAAAAUGGAUAUGAGAACAAGGUAAUUUUUUCUAUCAUAUUCUAGCUUGAGUGAGAAUCUUUAGUUUGAGCGAAAAUCUUUUGCUUAAAAAAAAAAUUAGAAGAAAACUUUACAAUACUAGCUAUUUUUCAAGCUUUCACCCAAAAUCAAUACUACAAUUGUAUUAUAUAAAACAUAUAAGAUCAAAAUGAUAUCACCUUCCUCAGAGUUGCACAUAUACUCUCAUUGAACUCCUAUGUCAACAUAUAUAUAUUUAUACAUUCAUGAUUUCUAAAUAAGGUUUAUUCAAAUUUCAAUUCAAAUACCAACACUCAUCAAUGUUUACACUUCAAAUGAUCCAUAAUACAAUUCAAACACAUUCAAGAACUUCUUCAAUAUCCCAGUCAACAUGUACAUUUCUAAAUUAUCAAAAUCUACUAUAUUUAUACUUUUAAAGUCAAUCGCAAUCAAACCAUAAUAAUUCAUUAAACAACAAACUUUGCAAAAAAUUUGAAAUUCGUGACCAUGUCACAUUCACAUAUAGAUCUUCUAACAUAGGAUUUUAUUGAAAAGUAAAAUUAUAUUCCCUUAUGUAGGCACGCUCACAAAGAUUUCAAACUCUUAAAACAAACCAGGAUAGUUUAACAUGUACCAAAGAGUUUUGAUCAAUUAUCCAAACAUACUACAUACAAACACGUUUAUUGAGGUAAACCAUAAAAUUCAAAAUUGACUAAAAAAAAUGAGUAAAAAUGAAACUACUAUAACAAAAAAAUCUGAUUAGAUACUAUUACUCUACUUACUAUGAGGAGUCGAGUGGUGAUGACUUCCAAAGGAGAUAAUCAGAAUUUUAGAGAAAAAAAAUAAGAGAUUUUUUUUAGAUAAAUGAUGAUUAUAUUAAAAUCAUCUCAAUAACUAUUUUUUUUAUAUGUACAUUUUUCCCUUUAAUAAUAAAGAAUUAAGGUAUCUUUUUAACUAAAUCAAUUCUUUUCUAAAUCCACAAAUAAUUACAUGCAAAUUCAUUUUAAUAUAAAUGAUAAUGACGUUAAGACACUAUUUUUCAUUUACUAACUUAUAUCAUAGUCAAAAUUACAAAUUAAUAUGAUUAAUAACUUUUAUUAAUUUAUAUAUAGUCUAGAUUAUAAACCAGUACAUUAUUAUAAAUAGAAUAAUAAAUUUUAUUUAUUAAUUCAUGUUUUUGUAGCGGUGUAUUAAUUAUAUAUAUCAUAAGUAAACUAUUCUAUCAUGAGAGUGAUAUUAAUGGUCUAACCUAGAAUGAAUGAGGCGAAACUUGAAUCAAGUUACAGUGUAAUUUUCUCACUCUCAUUUAUAUCUAUCAAGUCAACACACCAAACUACACUAAAAUCAGGUAAUUAUAAAAUUUUAAGUUUUACAUUCCUUAUGAAUUUAUCUUUAGUUAGUUUUUAUUAAAAAAAAAUUCAUUAAAUAUCUAAUGUUUUUAAAUAUAUUUUAACUGAAUUUAUGUUAGUUGAUUUUGUUGUUAAUUUGGCUAAAGUGACCAUUGUAUUACAUCCUCAUUAUUUACAUGUUUCUACAUAAAAAAAAAUAAAAAUUGGUAUAAUGAAGUUUUAAAAUUCUUCAUUCAUAAUUUUUAAUUGAAUCUUUAUUAAAAUCUUCUGCUCUAUUAAAUAUAUAAAAUAUUUAUAUAUUAAAUGUGUUACAUGGUGAUUUGAUAGUCUCAAAUUCAACACCGUAAAUUUAGACGAUAAAAAAAGGAAAUUAUGUACUUGACGAAGAAAUUAAAUAACAAAAACUCAAUAAAAAAUAUUUUUUUUAUAUAUUUAAUAGAACAACUUUUUAAUAAAAAUUAAAUUGAAAUUACUCAAAUUUAUAAACAACUAAAAAUUUAAUUAUGUUAUGUUUUCAUUUUUUAUACGAAGAUGUAUAAACAAUAACAAUGUAAAGUAAUGUAACAUAACCAUCACUCAAGCAAAUUAUUGACAAAAUCAAAUGGUCGAAACACAACUAAAAAAUAUAAUUUUUUUAAAUAUUUGAUAAAAAAAACUUUUAAUAGGGAUUCAAGGAAUAAGGUGAAUUACUAAUUUUUCUCUCAUUAAUAUCUAUCCAAAUCAGCGUACCAAAUUAGAUUCAAAUAACGUAAUUAGAAAAAUUAAAGACUAAAAUCAUAUAUAUUGAAUUAAGGACUGUGAAAACAUGUGAAAGUAGACAGUAUGUCAACAAAACUAAUAUUAUUAAAUAAAUCACAUAUUAUCAGUGAAUGUUACUUUAUUUAAUUUUAGAAAUAUAGAGAACAAAAUCAAAAUUUGCUAAUUUUAGAUAGAGCAACAAAAUAUUGAAUUCCUUUUGAAAAUUAAGUGAAUCAUAAAUGCAAAAGUAUUUACAUGAAUGUUCCAAGAAACCAUGAAUUAAAAAGGAUGAGUAAAGGAGAUUGGUGCCCUAGAACAAAUCAUAUUUUUGUAAUGAUAAAAGUGUAGCGUAGUCUUAUGUAUGAAUAAGAUUUGAUUGGAGAGAAAAGGGAAGUCAACAAAUUCCCCAAUCCGACAAGUUAAAAGAGACAAAAGGAAGAAGUUUUGUUAAAAAGUUAACCCCAGACAAAGGAGUAGAUAAUCUUAACUUACUAGCGAAUGAGAAAAUAAAUUUAAAAAUGAGUUAUGCGGCAAAAGCAGACCAAAAAAGGAAUUUGUAAAAAUUAAGGAUAUUUAGAGAGAAGAGGGUAAAGCAAUAACAGCAGAUUUAAGUGUGCAUCUAGAUGGAGCCUAAUCCAGCUUAGGGCGUUCUGGCAUUGGACCCAUCUUGUCUCUUCACUGUUACGCACUGCUUUACAGCCAUCAACUUCAUACUGUCAACGCGUCCUUUCUCUUAUUCGCAUCUUCUCGGAUCAACCACACAGGUAAAUGGGAAGCGCGUGGAUUCCAUUUCCAUUGUGAUGGAAUGUUAGAUUGAAGAGUGGAAGCUGGCAACGUGGGUGAGAGGUAAAUGAGCCCCACAAUAUCCCCAUAUUGACGCCUUCUUCUUGUCCCUUUCCUCUGCUUAAUUACAUGUGCCAUGACCCCAUGUGCGGGCUUUCCAGAUCUUGAUCUUCUGCUUCCUCCCUCCCAAGCUCCAUUUUGCAAUACUGUGUGGUGACCCUCUGCCACUGUCUUACCUGGAUGAUAUAGUUUCCAAAAUAGUACAUUCACCUCCUAAAGGAAAAAAAGAGCAUUUUACUUCUACCGAAAGUAAACCUCAAAACACAGACAAAAAAUAAACAUGAGAUAGUGCGAUGGGUGCAAGUGCCUGUUACAUCCUACAAGAAGUGAUUUCUGAAUCUAGAUGCCUGUAAAACAGAAGCUUUUCCAAGCAUGUGUUCCUCUUUCUCUGCAUACAUCGUGUGGUAUUACAAGGAGAUUCAAAGAUUAAUCCGAUGAUCAGAGAGUAGACAGUGAAAGAAUUUAUUUCCAAAAUUGGGUCUGAAAAAACAAGGAAUUCAUUGAUAAAGAAGAUAAGUAGUUUGGAAAAUAUGUCCAAGAGAUCGAAAAAUCUCCUGGAAACUUAAUGUGGUCGAGACAAAAAUCUAGAGGAAUACAAUGUGUCUGUUUUGGGUUUUACAGUUUCUUGGAAGUUGACUGAUAAUAACCUUGUCCUCGGGAGAACCUCGCUUCAAAAAACAAUAAUACUCAAGUCCCUGUCAUUGACAAGGAUGAAGUAUCGGAGAAAGGCACUUUAUAAUAGUUAUUCUCUUAAAAUUCUCGUGAAAGGUAUGAAUACACAAACCAGAAAAAUGAAGACAUGUCCGUAUCUAACCAAUGAUGUUGUUGUUCACACUCCAACAUGUCCAUGUAGUAUUCUUAUAAAGUAAAAAGAUAAUAUUUGAUAAACGUGUUCAUACUCAUAUAUACGCAUUUAUAUUAUCAUUUUUUGGAUACAUAUACCUGUAGUGUCUUUGUAAUUUAGACUUAUGCUUCAUAAUGUGAAAUAUAAUUAAUCCCACAGUUGAAUGCCAAUUGCGCAAUUUUAGACACAGGGCAUUAGAUAAAACUAGAGGAACCAGUUUAUGAUGUUAACUAAAUUGCAAAUAUUAAAAUAACAUGUUGGCCUGCUUCAAGCUGCAAUUCUAAAAGUAAAGAGUAAAAGGAGAAGGAAAAAUAAAAGCUUUAUAGGCAUUCAACCUUCCCCUGAAAUUUAAUCAAGAGGCCAGAAGCACAUUCCGAUGCCAAGCUGACCAGGUUUAUUGUAUAAAAAUUGUCAAUGCUCCAAGGAAAAAUGAGUCGCUAAUGAACUAACAGAAUAAGAUGCAGUUUAACUGAGAUCUUUAAGAUUUUCAUGCAAGAUGUUCAAUCCAAUAACACAACAUGUAGUUCAUAACCACAAACCUGUAGCAGUACUAACACGAUGCUAAUAUAUUAUAAGCAGGCAGCAAUAAUAAGUUGUUCUUCGGAGAAGAUCGGCAGAAAAAAGCUGGAACAAAAACUGUAAAACUUUCAAAUUAAUUUGCAGUGAACUUUUUUUUCUUCUUUGUUGCAGCAUAUUUUUUUCUCAUCUUCAUUUUUCUAACAAAUUUUUUAACUUUGUGUGGAGACUUGGCUACUGAGCUGUCCACAAGACUGAUUUUUUCUGGCUUUGUAGGUUUGUAAACUUGUGUUAUUGAAGGAUCCAAAACAUCUUCGGAGCACUGAAGAAUGAUGCCCAUAGAUGUAGCUUCAUCCCAGAGCUCUCUUCCCUUCUCAAAAUUUCCUCCUGUACAAAGCUUUGGAAUAAGCACAUCAUAAACCGGUCCAUAACCUCCCAUUGAAUUUUUCUUCAUUUUCUCAAACAGUUCAAGAGCAUGAUUUACUCUUUCAACCCCACAGAGAAUACCGAUUAAACUAUAGUAAAACUUAUGAUUUGGCAUCAAACCUUUUCCAAUCAUUUGAUCUACUAUAUCUUUCCCCUUACCAAACCUGCCGCUCAGAAAUAACACCUUUGCCACAAGAUAAUAGCUGACCCAAUCAGGAUCACAACCACCAUUUGUCAUUGUUUCUAGUAUUUGACAAGAUUCCUUAACUCUUCUGGUCUUCCCUAGACAAGAAAGCAGUAUGUUGUAACUGAUAGGGGUUGGGAAAACCCUACAAGACCUCAUCUCCAUCAUGACAUUUAAAGCUUCAGGCACAAGUCCUGAAGGAUUAUGUCUAAGAUUCCGUUCACAAAGGCACCUGAGGAAUGUGUUGUAGCAUAGCAAAUCUGGGGUAACCCCAUUCGCUUUCAUCUCUUUGAUAAUUCUCCUAGCUUCCUUCACAUUCCUCUGCACAGACCACCCGUAAAGUAGACUUCUAUAUAUGCAAGGUUUUGCGCCUGUAAUCUUGUCUCUGUGAUGCCAAACUACCCCUUCAGCCCUCUUAGCAUGACCUUUGGAGCAAAGGGCAUUAAUGAUAGCAGUGACUGUAAAUUCAUCUAUAGAACACUUAUACUUGUCCAAGUUCUUGAAAACACCCAAUGCCUGAUCUUCUUUUCCCAGUUUAACCAAAGUAUCAGCUACAAGACCAAAAGUCUCUGCGUCCAUGACUCGACCCUCCUUCUUGAGAUCUUCCAUCAAAAUAUCCAUGGCUGUGUAGUCAUUCUUUUCAGCAAAAACUCGAAGAGCAUGAUUGUAAUCCUUGUUUUCCAAACUAUGACUCAGAUUCUUACUAGACCAUAAAAAGAACCUGAGUAAUCUUCUAGUGUGUGCCUCGUGCUUACUAGAAUCAAUAGCCUGAGCUACAAGAGACGAAGUUAAAGAAUCUUUAAACUUAUUUAGGCUAAACUCCAGAUCAUCUAGGCCACCAACAGUGCUCACAACAACGCUGCAGAGCUCUUGCAACUGGGGAGAGACAGAUAUUGGCAGCAAUGUGGAGUACUGGGAAAAUGCAACUAUUUGCAAAUUCUGGGCACUCAUAGCUUUAGACCAAGAACGUUUCCAUGCAGGUUUGAGCAAGACGUGCAUCAUGAAUCUCAUCCUUGAAAUUCAUCAAACAUGUUAUGUGCAGUACUGUAACUCUAAAUCUUCAGACACAUGGCCGUGUGAGGUGAUGAUUAACAACAACUGUACGUUAAAGCAGGAAAAUAGGGUGCUCUCAUCCACAAAAUCCAAACUUUAGGGACUGCAGAUAAACCCCUUGUGUCUUAAAUUUUGGGUUCGGAGCUGAACUUCUAAGGUCGGGGCCGAAUAUAUAAAUUACCAGGGUUGUCGUGUCAGAUCGUUUGAAAAACGAAAAAACACGACUUUUGAAGAAUAUUAAAAUAUUGUAAUUAAUAUUUUAAUUAUACUACAUCAUAAAUGUCUAUUUAAUUCUAUUUAUAAAUAUGAAUUUAAGUUUGCCAUUCUCACAAGGUACCAUAACAACAUUUUUUUAUUAUAUUCUUAAUAAUUCCAAAAUACGAAAAGAUUAAUGUGUCAUGGAAUUAUUCCUUUAAAAAAUUAUGAGUCCUAAACAUGUUUUUCACUUUUUGAGAUUAAUAUCUUUGGAUUUCUCUGUCUUUAAUUAAUAUUUUUUUUUCUUGACUUUCAAUAUCUUAGAAUAAAUAUUCUUUAUUUCAUCUUAAUUUCUUUUAUUCUGUUAAGUAACUUCUAAAAUGCUGUAAAAAAAGUCAACCCAUUUCUUUUUCAGAAAAGGUUUGUCAUUGGUUUAUUUAUAUGUUAAGUUAAGAAAGUUACUAUAAUAAGGAUAAAAUAUAAAAUAUAAAAUUUAAGAAAUUAAAAGUCAAGGAAAAAAUCUAUGAACUACAAGAAAAAUCAAACACAUUUUGAAGAAUAAAAACACAUUAAAGUCGUUAAAGUGAUAGUAAUAGACGUCAAUGUUGCAAUACCUAAGAACAUAAUGGUAGGAAGGCCAAAUAGUCUUCAAUAGUAACAUUGUCCAGAGGCUUUGUUUGCUCUCCAAUUCUCCACUCAUGAGUUGGUAAAUAGCUACAACCUAUACAUGUAUUUAGAUUACUACACCUAACCAGCAUCAGAGAAAUAAUCACCAGCUACUUUUAAACUUGGAUUUUUCCACUAUAAACUAGUUUAAUAGUACAUAGUAAUAAUCACGAAGAGGAAUAUGCUUGAGCUGGUUGUAAAAUUUGUUUGACAGUAAAUCUCAGAUAAUAGUUCCAAAAGUUUUGAUUAAACAAAAGUGUAACACUUUCAACCACUUGGGCAAGACCUGCAGCAGGUACACCUUCAGGAAGAUAUAUAUCUUUCUUUUUUGAGAAAGUGAAAUUUAUGAGACCCCAGCAAGAUUUUGUUUGAACUCCAAAUGAUGAGGAGGGUGCAGAGGGGGAAUUGGAUCAGCAUCCUUGACCCUGACUCAUCGACAGCACGUGCUCAUCCACUAAUAGUGUUAGAUGAAUUUUCCAUCAAGAUCAACAACAGUAUCAAGUCCUCAACAGGCUAAUUUCACUGCAGAAAGAAAUUCAUUGGUCCUUCAUCCUUGUGGUCAAAGGUUGCAAUUUGAGAUUCUCAAGCAUCCUCAGGAGAGAAAUCUCUUGCUACAUGGUUGUCUUCCUCCUCUUCAUCAUCUUCUUCAUCAUAAUCAGUAGAAGUAGGUUGUCCAUUAAGAUCCACAUUAACACCAUUCAACUUUCGGACAAACUGUCCCCUCACACGAGGCCGCCUUUCUGCCAGCCGUUUUCUGUUGACAUACCUAAUUUUCUUCUCAAAACAGCGUUCUUUUCUUUUCUGUCUAAACUUCAUCAAUGCUGCUUCUCUCCUAUCAACCUUACUUAAUUUUACUUCACAUGAGCUUGAACUUCCUAAUGAUGGCCAAGAAUGAGUUGUAGAAAUCUGACCAGGUUGUAAGUAAAUGUUCAUUGGAUAAUAUGGGAAGGGUGUCAUCCCACUUGCAUGAGGAGGACACUGGGGAAGAUGAUUGUACUGUGCAAUCACAGAUGAACUAGAAUGACUUUGGAGGUCCUGGAUAUUCUUUUGAUAUAUUUGUGCUGAUGAUAACAUAACAUGAUUAACAGCUCCUGAAAUAUAAUAUGGAUAAACAUGUUGAGCAGGAUCGGAACCAUGACUUCCAUUUCUUGGAUGCACUACUCCUUGAGAAUGUUCUUCCCUGUAAUGCUUUUGCUGAGAAACUUCCAUCGAAGCAGGUGGAGUACAAGAUCUCUCAAUAGAGAAAGAAUCAGGGAUACUGUUGCUGCUGGGUAAGUCAUCUUGUGAAUGAUUUUCAAACAUUUCUCCAUUUUCAUGUGUUUUAAGGUCAUUACCCUCCUGUUCACCACAUGCUUGAUUCACAUGUUCCACCCUAACUUCUGUAGUAGUAUUGUCAACAUGAGCACUCUCUUCAAUGUUGCUCUUCAGUGCUGUUGCUUUGACAUAGGUGAAAAAGGCUGAUGACUCUCCAAUCUUCAGUUCACUCUUCUUUGGACCAGUUGAAAAAUGUCCUGCAAAAUUUUGGAAAAUCACAGUGAAAACAGUCAAAAUAACAAGGGUACUCAUCACUUCAGCCAAACUUUAUUCAACUUUAGGAUCCAUUUUAAACCGCGGCCAUUUUUUAAAUUAUAAAUGUAGAAAGCAAAAUAUGAUGUGCAAGUGAAAACUACCAAUAUUAGUUCUGCUGCGUGAUGAAUGCUGCAUUGCAGUACUAUGUGAGUAAUCAUAAAUAACAAUGAAGCAUGAACAAAUGUAUUUAUUUGACUUUCUUGAGAAAUAGUAGAUAUAUGGACCAAAAUUGGCUAAGAAGAGGCACAGGAAAAACUGAAGUUUUACAAUAAUGUGUCAUUUUAUGGCAUUCAAAAUAUUGUCUUAAACAUUGUAUUCAAUAAACAUAAUGCGCAAAAUUAAUAAUUUUGUAUUUUGAAAAAUAGUGGUUAAAGGAAAAGGAGAAAAGACCUGUUCGGCGAUCACUUAUUCCAGGCACAUCAGGCUGAUAUUCUGAUACAAGAGCACUGGGAAGCUCCAUCGCAAUACUGGCGGCAGCGGCAAUACUAACCUGAAAAGAUAAAUGCUUUACAUAUAUUAUAAUGUACCAUGUAACCACAUCUCUGAUCUACAGUUAUUAGUAGUAAAUCAGAUAUAUCAUACCUAAACGCCAGUAGCUGCCCAAAAACAUUUGAGCAAUGCUAUAUAUACACCUAUUUACAAAUGUAAAACUCUCACCUCCUUUUCUGCAUUACUGGGUCUAUGCAAGGGUCUAUAAACACUUUUCUACAUGCAUCAAUACAUAAUCAAAUGGCUCUAUACAUAGUUGUGAAUUAUCUAGUCUUUAGUAUAUAAAAAAGUAUUUUCCAAACUGUUAUUAGUAACUUCCUCAUAGUUCUAUUUUUGGCUUUCAGCAAUGCUGUUUAUUUUGGAUACUAAUUAAGACUUACAUCUGAAAUGGCGUUUAAGAUUUAAUUUAAAAAUGCACUAUGAUUCAUUUGCAUUUAUCAAUUUUCACCGUACCAGAGACUUCAACGGUUUUAAUUACAAUUCAACUUUUAUACUACCAUCAGAAUUAAUAUCCCUUUUCAGCGAGAAGGCAGUGACAAACAUAGUGACGUGGACUACCAAUUAGGAUUAUCAUAAGUUUUUAUUUAAAUAUUGAUUUAUUUCAGUUUAUCUUGUUUCUUUAUUCUUCCCUAUCUUAAUAAGAUAUUAAUCUUAGAAUGCUUGUUUUAUUGAUUAGGAUAAUUUUUAUAUAAGAUCCUAUUAAUGAUUGGAUAUCUUUAUUUUUAGUUUACCGAAUAGGAUAAUUGUUAGUUAUGAAACUAUCGAGUCUCUUUAUUUUAAUUUUAUCAAUUAGGAUAAUUGUUAGGGACAUCUGUGUAGAUUCUUAAAGGGUAGACUUGACUGAAAUUUCAUCAUUAAGAAACAGUUUCCAGAAAAAACUUGUGUUAGUUAUGGAGGGUUUCUGUCAAGGACGAGUCUGCUUCUCACUUUCAUUAAGUCCGUGACUGUAUCCUAUGCAAAGGGCCACAACAGAUAGAAGCACAAGAAUAUUUUUAAAAAAAGACAUACUUUGAAGGGUUGAAAAAUUUGCAAAGUAAGCUCAAAGUUGAUUAGAGAAAAACACCAUUUCUUGUAUAAUGGAUUCAACUUCAACGUGACACACAAACUUAUCAAUUUCUAAUUCUGUAAAACCCAUUACAUUUUUUCUUUUAUUGCUUAAAUAUUGUUUUCUAACAUUUACCUCUUGUUCUUGUUGGACUGAUACUCCUGUCUCUGGAUUAGUGCCUCUUUUGGACUUGUCAUCUGUGUCAUCAGAGAACAAGGUGGUACUGUUUGUAUUGGCAUCACUUGGAUCUGAUGCUACCAGUUCAAACUCAUAGUUCAAGAUGUUGUUCUCCACAACGCCAAGCUGCCAGAAUAGAAAUAUCCAUUUCAAUUUCAAUUUCAAGUUGAGAAGAUCUAAGUUGAACAUUCAAAAUUUAGUAAAGAAAGUCGAUACGCAAAUGUACAUAAACAAUGAGGAAGCCAGCAAGAGAAGGGAAGAGGCUACACAAACAUUCCAUAUUCCAUUAUGAUCAUUCCAUGAAAAGUUGUGUUUAUAUAUGAUGAAGCCAUGCGACAUUUUCACAAGAAAUUAAACUAAUAAUCAAGUCAGAUGCAGUGAUCAUUAAUUCAUACUUUGCUGAACGCUUUGAUUCAAUUUUAACUUACCUCGUCAACAAGUAAAAUAUAGUUGACAGGCCAUACUUAGUAAUACCUAUUUUAUAAUAAAAAUGCUUUUCUUAGUACCUCUCAAAAAAAAAACUUUCGGCCAUAUCCAUCAAGUUGUUUGAGGUGUACAGCACACAGGUGGAUUGAUUAGAUAAAUCUCCAAGCUUUCCAGAAAAACUUAGGAAAUACUAAAUAUAUGCUUUACACAUUUACAUAAACUAUAAUAUUAUGUAAAAUCUGAAUCUUGAACUCUAGUGCUUUUUGAAUGGGGGUGAUGGAAAUAAGGAAGUAAAAAAAGCAAUAAAUGAAGAUAAUUAAAGUGGAAAAUGAGAGUUUGGAUUAGAGAAAAGAAAGUGAGAAUGAAUAGAAAGUGGGAUAAUUUAAUUGAUUAUUAAUAAUUUAAUUGAUUAUUAAUAAUUUAAUUGAUUAUUUAUUAUUAUAAUAGAAAAAAGCGGAAAAAAAUCCAUAAUCGAUCACGGUCACAAUUGAUUAUAUGCACAAAUAACACUUCAAAACACCUAUUUUUUAAUAACAUAAUUGAUUAAGUUGCAUCUUCAACUAUAAACCACACCACCCGCGGCUUUCUCUUCUUUUCUCACCCUCUUGGCAAAGACAUCAAACUCACCAUCCAUCCGUGCCAAUAGUGGAACAUUGGAUGCAAACAGAGGCUAAGAGCAUGUUUGUGUUGUGAGAAUUGCCAUUAUGUUCAGUUGAAUAAUGUCAAUCCUUUGUGAGUGUAGCAUUCAGUUAAACAUGCAUUUGAAAGUUGGACUAUAGUAAACAAAGACCCCAAUUAAAGGUUAUUACAAUGAAAGUCGAAAGCUUGGAAUAGAGAUUCUUUAAGUACACAAGAAAGACAGCCAUCAGUACUUAUUUCAUAUCAGCAUGGAAUAGAGAUGUUUAAGGACAGGUGGAAAACCAAUAAUAAUAUGAAUAAACUCUAUAAAUAAGUUGGGAAAUACAUACCAUGCGUCUCCUUCUCCACAUGUGUGUCCACAAAUUUAAUAGUUCAUUUGUGCGUAAAGGCUUCACUAGGUAAUCUGCUGCUCCAAGCCUCAAACACUUUACAACAACGGAUAUCUCAUCUUGUGCAGACAUCACUUAACCCCCCACCCAAAAGAAAAAAACAUUGAUGAGAAACAGGAUAUAAUUUGCCUAACAUAAAGAGUGAUACAAAUUUCCUUAAGGCUUACUUAUAACAGGGAUUCGGCAUAAUUCUUUAUCCCUUGUUAUGUACUUCAACAACUUCAUUCCUUUCUUUACCGGAAGGUCAACUUCAACUAGUAUCAUGUCUAUAUAUUGCCUUUCCGCAUUCAGUGCAUCAAUUAGUUGCCUAGCUGAUCUUACUGAAGUUACUGUUAAGCGCAAAAUAUCCACACUAGUCAUAUUUUCAAAAGUUGCAGCAAGCAACUCUCUUCAACAUGCUUAAUUAAGGGAGGUUAAAUAUUCCUCUAGGAAUCAUCUUUCAUGUACACCAUGAACAAAAAUGGAUAAGGUCCACAAACGUUGAAAAGCAAAAUAAUUUGGAUCGACCAGCGAACACAGAUAUUUGGACUAAUUACACAAAUUGAUUUUCAAAAUGAAAGCAAGUAACUCCAUAAUACAUAUAAUCUAACAAUUUAAAAUCACCCUUUUCAUAUUUCUGACAUCACUAACCAUUCUAGAAAUGAAAAUUUCAAUUCAACUUUUUUCCAAAAACACUAACAAACCGAGACAUAAUUCCAACUGUUACUAUAUGUCACCCUUAAUCAGAACAAUAAUUAACACAAAAGAAGAAAGUAAAGGGGGGUUUAAUUCAUACCCUGAUAAGAACACCCCAGAAGAAGAGUAAAAACCUCUUCAGAACUCUUGGAAUCGUUGUCACACAACAAAAUCCUCACUUUGCUUCUGUCAAUAAAGCCAUCGCCACUCUUACUAUUAUUCCCACCACAGUUACUUGCUUUAUUGUUCAAAUUAAUAAGUUCCUCGGUCUCAGUUUCAGCAUCCAUCGUAACCCCUCUUCCCUGUACUAGAAAAAACAGCAACCCAAUACCAAACCUCUACUCAAAAUCAAAUAUUGCAAUCACAACCCCAAUCAAGACACAUGAUAUUCAAAACCCAUUUGUUCCCAUCUGGUGAUCGUUGCAGCACCAGCAAAAUCCAAAAGUCUAGGAGAGGCGGCACACGUUAGCAGUUCAGACUAAAAAAACGCUUAAUUUUUUUCUGGCCAAGUAGUGAGACAAGAUGAACCACGAGAGUAUUUUGAGCUGGGGAAUGGGAUUUUCAAUCCGAGGAAGAAACAAAAAAGAUGGUGGUGAGAGCUAACGUGAGCGUGGAGAAGGGGGAGAAAAGGGGCGUAAAAUAGCCAAAAGGGUAGGGGUGACGUGGAAAGGAAGGAGAGAAGAGAGGUGAAAAAGCGAAAAGAAAAUAAAUAGAUAUGAGUGGGAGUGGGUUUGGAUAGUUAGUUUGAGAUAGAGAGAAAGCCACGUCACUCCCAAAUCUCCAUAUUUUUAUGCCGCCACAAUCUCACCAAAAUAUCCCAAAUCUCCAUACCUCUAUUUUUCUUCUCUUUUUUGAUACAUUACCAGUUUUCAGAUUCACUCACUCCAACAAAUGCUUGCAUCAGCAACCAAAUUAACUCAAACCCACCAAUGGUGUUCUUGUUAAAUGAGCCACAACCAUACUUGCUUUAUUAGUGUGUAAUGAGAAUGUUCAUACAGUUACUUAUUUCAAUUUCUGAUGAAAAAAAACAGUUUAAUUAAAAAUGUAAAGUUUAGUUAGUUAAACUAAAAAAUUAAGUAGUCAAGUUCAACUUAAUUCAACAAUUUUUGUAACAGUUUAUAAUGGACACAAUUUGUCUAGUUCAGUUCAAUUUUUAUAUAAAUUAGUUUAGUUCAAGUUAUUAGUUUCUUUAAUUAUUUUUACUUACUUUCUAUAUUUUUUCAAUAUCUAUUAUGAAUAAAAUAUUAAAAAUAAUAAUAAAAUAUAAUUCAAAACAAUAAAAUAAAAAAAUAAUUUAAAAAUAAUAAUUAAUAGUAACAAUAUACAAAUAAAGAAAACACUAAUAAAAAUAAUACUAAUAAUAAAUAUUUUAAAAUAUAUAAUAAUAAUAAUAAUAAUAACAACAAUAUUAUAAUUAAUUAUUUAAUAAAAAAUAAUUUAUAAUAAUAAGAAUAAUUUGAUAUUUCAUAAAUAUAUCGUUUUACUUAUGUAAUAAUUACUAAAUUUUAAUAAUAAAUUUCACUCUGUAAUUCAUCCAAAAAAGGGGGGAAAUAUUUUUAAAAAAUUGACAUAUUAUUAAUCAUUAUUGUUUAGAAAAAGUACCUCUGGAAAGAAAUUAUUAAUAGUCAUCCACUUUACAAAGAGUUCAUUUUUUUGAAUCAAUAAUGCCAUAUUCAUCCUGUAAUUUUAGAUGGAAUUGAAGUAACCAGAAAAUUAAAGGUGUGAACAUCAGUGGAACUACAAACAAGAAAUGGAACCAACUUUACAGCAUAACCAAUAUUUAAUCUAUCAACCUUGGUGUGUAACCAUUAACCUACACUUAAGUUUAAACUUACUUCUAUUUGCAAUGAAUGAUCAAUUUUUUGGCAACUAAUUUAAUCCCUGCAUUCUGCUGAUAGUCAUACGGAUCUAAGGAAAAGAAGGCAUCAACAAAUGUCCCAGGCAUGAACAAGGAACCAAGUUCUUCAGCAUCAAAUCUACUGAAGAGAAGUCUUUGCACUGCUCCAGAAGAUUCUUUCUGAUAUAUUUCUGUGGCAUAAAUGGCAACGUCUGCGACUACUGCUGUAGGUAUGCUGUAAAAUAAAUGUUACAGAAAUCAGAGAAAUUCUAAUUGAGAGAAAUCCUAAUUGUUUGCCAAUUAGAAGCAUCAAAGCAAAAACUUUGGAUUAAUUUCUCUGUCCAUAGUUGAUGGUAUUCUAGAAGUUAUCCCUACUUCAUGAUUUUAACAACUUAAUGUCAUCCCAUUAUCGAUAAAAAGCAUAAAAACAAAAAGGCUCCCCAUUAUAUAAGGUUCCAACCAAGUGGGAUCCAGGGAAAGCAGAUGUACGCAAGCUUUACCCUGGCAAACAUGGAAGCUGUUUCCAAGGUACCCAUGACCCCAGGCGCUAGGUCACAACGCUGUAGCCUUACAGUUGCGCCAAGGUUCACUCUCAGAGCACCAAAACAAUAAAAGCAUAAUCUAAUGAUUUAAUAAAACCAGGAAAAUGGACACAAUAUUGGAGAAAGCUUUCUAGGAUGCUUCAAACCCCAUCUCUGACACGGUGAUCAGGUUAAACUGAAUGCCCGGUUGUGAGAAUAGUGUUAUCCACCAUUAUACAUGUCAUGUGAGGCAGUAAUUUAUUUCGAUAAAAUUAAAUAACAGGUCAAGAACUUACUGCAAUCUGACAGUAGGAUAGUUGAAGAAACCUUCUUUCCUAAUGACAGCAGGCCUCCAAUCAGAGAUGCUACCAGAAUCCACUGUUAACUUCUGAGCAACGCGGUCACAUGCAUCAAGAACAUUACAUAGAAUUGGUGAUGAAUCAACCACAAAACUCAAUCGUGGCCGGCCAGCAUUAUCAGAAAACCUUGUGUUUAUUCCAAACCGCACUUUCAAAUCAGUACAAUGAAGAUGAAAUGGGAAACCUUCAUGCAGUAAUUCUAUCCUUUGACUGCCAUGAAAAGAUGGAACAAGAGAUGCAUCAAUAGAAGGGACACAUACUCCAUCAGGUUCUAAAACAAGAAUAGAGCUGCUGCAAGGCUGAAACAUAGAAGACGAGGAAGCCAAAUCAGAUGACUCUUGCAUGGGUUUUUCCACCAUGGAAACAUCUGACUUAAUGGGUUCUCUAUUUAUUUCUUCCUCCAGAGCACUCAAAUUAAAAGGAUCCGAUUGAACAAUAUUAGGAUCUGCAGUAUUCUGGGCAUCCCUUGUUGGGCUGCUCAUUGCAAAAGAAAUUAUAGGAUGAAUUUUGUCUUUGGAUUCAACAGCAGGAGAUUGUAAUACAGAACCCUUAUUAAUAUUUAAUAAGCCCCCCUGUGAUGGAGAUUUCCCAUUACUGCGGCUUCUUGUUGUAGCAUUUGGUGAAACCCAACUGUUUGCAGUGAAUAUGUCCGGGAGACUUGAUUCCUAUAAGGACAGAGAUUAUCAUUAUUUUUAAGACAAGUUCUCAACUAAUGCUGCAAAAUACAUCACAAUAUCAGGCACAAAAGCUUCAAAAUUCAUAUAUACAUAAAGAUAGUAUAUUAUGGAUGGUCUGAUAGCGGGUGACUUGAUAAGCCCAAUAAACUCUCGUUAUAAUAUGUUCUUAAUGAUUAUGAUACCAUAUUAAGAAGUUGACUUUAAACUUAAGUCAACCUUAUAAACCCGACUUGUAAGGUGAGGUUUUUGCAUCACUUGUAUACUAUGAAAUUUUUCCAUCUCUAAUCGAUGUGUGAUCUCGAACAUAAUAAAAAAAAAUCCUUAAAAUGCCUUCUUGAUUCAGAAGACAGUGCAAGUAUUAGGGUUCCUCGAUUGAACAUUUUAUAAGGAUAUAUGAUAUAUCCAUUGCUAGAGUUAUACUCAGGUUAUAUAUUUAAGACUUGUGUCUAAUAAGAACUUCUUAUUGGAGUUUGUUGACAUAGUAUAAAAUAUAAAAUGUUGUGUUUUAAAUAAAACUUGGGUCCUAAGAAUAAAAAAACAUUUUUAUAUCUUAAAAAAUAUUUAUUUUUGGCAACAAUCAAAUAAAAAAUUAAUUGAAGUGUGGGUCUUAUAAGACCCUUGCAUUAGAGUAAAAGUUGCAAGGAGGUCGUAAGAGUGAUAUAGCAUGGUAAGACCUGUAAAAAGUAAAUCAAAACCUCAUAUAAUAACUCUUACAAUGGAAAUGGCUUAAAUAAUCUAGUGAAGCUACGCAGUAAAACCUGAUUCCAUCCACAUGUAGGGCACGUGUUAGGGUAAUCUUGCCUAUGUAAAUUGUAGAUUAACGAUAGAUUCAAUACCCCCGUCCCCAAACAGACACAGCAUGAAAAUUUUAAUGAAUGUGACCGUACAGUGAUUGAACCUAUGUUAAAAGCCAGAAAAUGCAUCCAGGUAUUUAAAGAAUUAGAUAAGAAAAAACCAAGGCAAAGAAUCAUCACUGGUAAACUAAAGGGAAAAAAUAACAUGAUUAAAGUGUGCAAAACCAUGCUAGCCAAUUUCUAUUAGCAUUUAUCUCCUACUACAAAAGAGAUGUCAUAUUACAAGACCAAAAUGAGAAAAAAUGCUAUUAAAUUCUAACAACAUGCUUUACGUCAAGAAACUCAAGUAACCACUAGUAUUUACUUGAUGACUUCAAUCAAAGAGCUGAUGAACUGAACUGAUGUAAAGUUAAGAAAUAAUUUGGUUCUUCCUUCUUAGGUAGGAUUCUGAAAAACCUUAACUAUGACAAAAGUUGUUGUUAUAUCAACAACUGAGCUGUGUUGCCAAAUAAAAACAAGACUUUGAAUUGAAAUUUACCAAGAAUAGAACCGUUGCACAGUAUUUGAGGACCUCAAGAUUCAUCCGAACAUCAUCUAAGCUCCUGCACUCCAGAAACAGCAGAUAUCAGAAAAGAUAAAGUCAAUACAUUGAGAAGGUGGCAUAUGACAACAUUUCAUUAGCGUGUUACCUAUGUGUCUGGCGUCCAAGUCCAAAAUAAGUAGCAAGAGUAGCCAUCUGCGUAAACAUUAGUUACAUAAACGCAUGUCAUAAAACUUAAAUAACCAGCUGAAAGGAGAAAAUUUAAAUGGUAGAGCGAAAAGAAAGAAAUGCAUGCAAGGAACAGUGACAUGUAACAUGUUAACAUUAUUAUGAUUUAUAAAUUAUACAAUACCUUCAUGUCACCAGCUCUUCUUCCAAACUUUUGAGUCAACAAAACUAGAGAGUCAAUAGUCCCCUUAGGUUCAGGUGGCGGCUGAUUAAUCUCAGCAAAAGCAUCUCUAAUCCGAACACAGUCGAACCUUAUGAUAUUAUGACCCGCCCAAAUCCUCCCUACACAAAUUCACCACGCACAAAACAUCAAAACGUAACCAUACACGUUUUUUUUAUUCUAAAAAAGAAACAAUUUAAGCAGAGAGGCGAACAAAACAAAACAUACCGUGAAGAAGGUCGUAGACGAGGUGAGCAAUGUCGGCGAAAGUCGGCGCGGUGGAGACGGCGUUGGCGGUGAUGCCAUUGCAACGCUCGGACAAGGGGGAGAUGACGGAGAGAUUGGCGGGUCGGACGAGAGUGGAAUAGUUGUUGAGCUCCGUGAGCGUCUUGGGGCAAACCAAAAUGGCUCCGAAUUCGAGAAUGGCAAAACCCUGGCCUGUUCGAGUGGGAACGCUGGUCUCCACAUCGAAGAACACUAUCUCUGAUCGGUCUUCAACGGGAGAACCCAUUCACAGAGAAUUCAACUGAACAGUGUUGUGUUGUAAUUUGUAACGAUAACUCAGAAUUUGUUUGUUUGAUUGAAAUUAAAACGAGGUUUUAUAGUGAAGGGGUGAUGUUUGGGCUGGCAUAGGCCCAUGAAUGAGUUGAGGUUAUUACUAACGCACCAAUGAGGUUGAAUGACGGUGCAGUCUUGGAAUAUCUUUGCCAGCACUUUAACCAAAACACCAAGCAAUGAAUAGUUUACUGAAUGUGUUUUUGAUCUCGUUAGGAGUUACUCAUUAGUUAUGCUUUGCUUCUUCCAAUAAUUUUAUGUAUGGAAUCAUUUCACGUUGUGUUAAACUAACCAUGUAAAACAUCAACCACUGUUAUUUUUAUCAUUGAAAAGCUUCUCCUUCUCCUCAUCACAUAUAUUGCCAAUAUAUCUGCCAAUUAUUGUGUUUGAUUGAUUUUCAAGUAACUAUACACUACCAUGUAUUAAUAUCUCUUAGUUUCCUUUACAGUUUUGCACUUUUUAAAGAUUUUUUGUUUCUGUUUCAUUAUCAUUUUUAAAGUUUAAGAUAACAUUAAAUUUUUUGUUUGAACUCUUAUUUUUUAUUUAAUUUUUAAUUAAUUUUACAUACAUGUAUUCAUUAUAAAUAAAAUAAUUAUGGAUAUAUAAUUAAAAUCAAUUAAAUUUUUUGUCUUCACUGUUUCUUAAAAAAUUAAAAAAAAGAAGGGAUGUAAUAUAUAAUUAGUGGUGAAUUAUGUCUCAUUUGGAAGGUUACUAGAAUUAUCUUUUUAACAUAAAUUCACUACACUAAAGAUAAUAAUUUAUGGUACUUCCCUAUAUUCCUUUAUAAUUGUUGUUUUUUUAUUUUAUUUUUAUAUGUUAUUUUUAAAUUUUCAAGAUAAAAUAAUUUUAUUAUGCACUAAAAAUUGAUUAAACCGAAAAGAAAAACCUGAAAGAAAUAUAAAAAAUAACUUAUUUAAAAUUGUAUUGAAAAUAAAAUAAAAAAAUAAUUUUUUAAUAAUUAUAAUGAAAAGAAUCUUAAACUACUAUUAUAUAGAAAUAGACUACUAAAACAUUUUAAAUUUAAGAAACACACGAAGAAUAUAUUUACAGUACAUUUAUUUUAUUAAUUGCAAUGGGUUCUUAAUUUGUCAACUUCCUUUUAAACAUUUGAAUGACAUUGUUUUAAAGAAAAAUCUGAAAGAAAUAUUAAAAAAUUAUUUUAAUGGCAUUGUUUUAAACAUUUUCCAUUGACUUGCAGGGAACUGUUUUUUUUUCAAUUUUCAACUAGUUCUUAGACCAAUUCUAUUGUAUAAGUCACUUCUCUAGUUCAAAUGGACCUAGCGUAAAAUCAGUUUUCUUUUAUUGAACCUGUUGAUCCAGUCCGAUCUUCAAAACGUAGGAAAUAACUCAACAAAAUCAACCCUGUUGAAGAAAAAAGGGUCUUGCCUGACAAGUUUUUCUUGAAAUUUAGGGUACGUUGUGAGAGUGGUUGAAGGAAGAAGAAAACUAUUAUGUAGACUGCAGUAAGUGUAUUUAUACUGCAUGUAGCGAGCAUACACUAAUAUAUCAGAUACAGAGCAAGAUAUAUGUUCUAAGUGACAACCAUAGACCGGACUAAAACUUACCGAAAGAACGCUGCCAAGAAGAAUCAAAAUGGACAGUGGGCAAAGUACAGGAAGGGUGGAGCUUCCCUUGCUCGAAGCUUCUACCAUGCUAACACACGCAUUUAGAAUCCACUGGUGGACAUCCCAAAAGAAAGUACGGAUGGACCACAGAGAAUGCUAGUGAUAAGGGGUGUGUACCUUGGAUAUACCUUGAAAAGAGUCCGUAACAGCCAGUACAAGAGAAGAAGGAUUUUGAAAUUUUAAAUAUAGAAACCAGAAAACGAAAAGAAUGGAUCAUAUACAUACAUUAGUAGUGAACUAAUUGCAUUACCUGUUUCGGUUUCCUUGUUAUAGCGUAUUCUAAUAAGAAAUUUGACCCGCUUACUUUUGUCCUGUCUUGAGAACAGGUCAAUGUUUCUGUCAUCCCAGCAAGAAUUCAGCAUCAUUUUCAAAGACACAGCACGAGAGAAGGAAACUUGUAGCAAAGUGAAAAGCAUUCCUCCUCAGAUUGUUUGCUUAAUCAGAGUGAUGGCAUAGUAUCACCAUGGGUAGCUAGCACUGGUGGCACUAGCAGUUAUCACCAGCUACUCCAUAAACAAGAAAAUAAGCACCGGCCUUCUGAAAAGAUGCUAAAAAAUUAAGUUCUUCUUACACGUCCUACACUUCAAUGUCCAAGAAAACAUUUAUCUCUGAUCCAUAGCCUUCCAGAUUGGCUUGCUUAGUGACAUCAUACAGGAUUUCAUAGAUAAAAUGUGAAUGCUUAUGAGUCAUGUCGCCCGCGACAAAAUUAUGGACAACUCCAUUAAUUUGGAUCCAACUUCUGCCUGGAGGCUUUUUCACACCCAUACCAAUCAUUUUCUGCCUCACUGUAAUGACAUCCUGCCACCUUUGACCAAAAGCAUAUAUGUUUGACAAAAGCACAAGAUAGCCUGCAGCUUGAUCAACGCUGAGCUCGGGUACUAACUUGUUUUCCACUUGUGAUGCUAGAUCUGAAUUCUUGUGAAUAAGACAACCACCAAGAAGGGCACCCCAAAGGGCAUCAUUAGGCUUUAAGGGCAUAGUUUCAAUUAGUCCACGUGCUUCAUCUAAGAAUCCAGCACGGCUCAAGAGAUCAACCAUGCAUCCAUAGUGUUCAAUCCUCGGGUUGAUUCCCCAAGUAUGCUUCAUGGAUGCAAAAAUUUGGCGUCCUUCGUCCACAAACCCUGCAUGGCUACAAGCACAAAGAACUCCGAUAAAGGUUAUAUCAUCAGGACUUACUCCAUUUACUCCCACACCAUCACUAAGCAUAGUUUUAAACAGAUCAAGGGCUUCCUUCCCCAGUCCCUGCUUCGCAAAAGCCAUGAUCAUGCUAGUCCAAGACACAGUGCUUUUCCAAGGCAUAUUGACAAACACUCGAUAUGCUUCAUGAAUGAUUCCACAACUAGCAUACAUGUGUAUGAGAGCAUUGCUCAAGCGCACUGAGGGUUGCUGGUUCCUGGCUACAAACCACUGUUGAACAUACCAAUGGAUCCAUCUUCCCAACUUCAGAUCCCCUAAUUCAGCACACGCAGACAAAGCCGCCACCAAUGCCACCUGGUCCAAUUCCACACGUGCCCUCCUCAUCUCACCAAACAACAACAAAGCCUGUCUGCACUUCCCAUUCUGAGCACACCCAGCAACCAUGGUGGUCCAAGACACAACAUUCCUACAUGGCAUCGCGUCAAAAACCCUUAUAGCCCCAUCAAAAUCGCCACACCUGACAUACCCAGCAAGUAUAGAAUUCCAGCUAACAACACUUCUCUCCGCCAUAUCAUCAAACACAUGGCGCGCUCGCUGAACGCCAUCAUGCCUCGCAUAGAAAUUGAUCAAAUUUGUGUCCACAAAGACAUUGGAGCAAUACCCUUUUACUAAAACCAUGGCAUGCAGCUGUUCCCCUUCUUUUUCCAACCCACCUCGCGCACAUGCACUCAGGAGAGACGAGUACGUGACCACAUCAGGCAGAACCUCAGCAGACAGCAUGUGGCUGUAGCAUUGGAUCGAUUUCCAAGGCAUGUGGCUGCGAGCGUAGCCUCUGAUGACGUGGUUCCAAACGGUGGUUGUUGGGUUGUCCAUUUUGGCAAAAAGGUGGUGGGCAUGUCGGAGAUGGCCAGAGGCAAUGUAGAAGGAGAGAAGCUUGGCAAUGAGAAUGUUCUUGUGAGAGAGACCGUUGAGAAGUACUUGAGUGUGAAUUUGAAUGAGGGCGUUUACGCUGUUGCAGUUCUGUAAUAGGAACAGCAAGUGCUCUUGAACAACUCUUUUGCCGUUUGCAGGAACCAUGCCUUUGAUCAACAUGGAACCUCCAGAAAUAAUCAACGCAUUCUAAACCACGUCACGUCUUUCAUCUCCUUCUUCUUAUUCAGAGGAACACCAACACUUCAAACAAAAUACAUUAGUUAUAUGUAUUGCUUAUAUCUCACAUGCAUAUCUAAAUCUAUAAAUGUAAAAUAUUAACAGGAAAAAAAAUUAAAAAUUUAAGAGAAUAAAAAAUUUUCUCAAAACUAAAUUUUAUUCAAUUUAUAUUAACAUGUGGUUGACCAUGUAUUGAUUAUAAAAAAAAAAAAAAAGGAUAAGCAUAUAAAAUGAAAGAUGUUUGAAAAAAAAUAAAAAUGCAUUACUUAAUUCCUUACAUGAUGUUGACAAGCCAAUUCCUUAAUUUUUUUGUAGAGUUAUAUGUUGUUAUGACCCAUUCUCACUUUGUUUAAUAAAUAUAAACUUAAAAGUCAACAAAAUUUACAAAUGUCACCAUCUUCACCCACUGUACUCAAAUGCAAAUAAAGAACAUGUUUAGCCAAAAAAUAUCCAACACAUCCCUUCAUUGUACAAAUUGCAUUUAUUUUAAGAUUUAGAAUUCCAAAUAUAACCAUAAUUUAUUGAUCUACGUAUCUCCUUCUGUGUGUCCCUUUUAGAAAAAAAAUCUCCUGUAACUUCAUGCAAAUCUUCACAGUUUUAUUUUAAAAGAAAGAUGAAACUAAAUAGAGUCAAUAUAUUUGAAAUCAUAAAAAAAUAUGAUAUUUAUCAUAGAAGCAGUCAAUAGAAAUGACACAGGAGUUUAGUACCAAAUUUUAAUAUCAAUUAAAAAAUAAUAUUUAAUAGAAAAUGACACAGGAGUUUAGUACCAGAUAUUAAAUACCAACUAAAAAAUAAAUAUAUUUAAUAGAAUAUAAAUGAAUGUCAAACUCAUUUUAAAAAUGGUUUGUUUUUAUAAAAUUAAGUUUAACUUACUUUUUAAUAUAAUAUUAAAAAUUAAUAUAAUGAGAGUUAGUUGAGAACUGUGAAUCAUUCAUAAAUAUAUAAUUAUAUAUACAAUUAAUUUUUUUAUAAAAAUAAAUUAAGAAAGUUUACUUUUUUAUAUUUGAAAAUACUUUUUUUUAAAAUAUUUAUUACUUCUGAAUAAUUAUCAUUUUUAAAUUAUAAAUUAAUUUUAAAUAAUACCCAUACUUUUUGUUAUUUUAACCUACAAUGCAUCAAGACAUUAGUUAGUGCUUUUAUAGUAUAGAUAAAUGCUAACACAUCAAACAAUACGUUAUUUGAUGCAAAAUCUGAAUUGAAAAUGUGGUUAGAGGUACCUACCCCUUAGCAUCAACAUUAAUAUUUGUUAAAUGAAUAUUUGCAUCUCCAUCAAAUUAAACUCAUUAUUAUUAAAAACACUUUGGAUGUACUUUUAUAUAUAUAUAUAUAUAUAUAUAAAAGAUAAUAUUAAAAACACUUUGGAUGUACUUAUAUAUAUAUAUAAAAGAUAAUGCAUAAGAACCCUUCUUUUUUAAUUUUUUUUUCUUUUAUAAAAAGUUUUCAUGUUUGACAUCUCAGUUAGGCUGCCACCUCAAGUAACAACAAUCAUUUGUCAUCACAUGAAAAAAUAUUAUUAAAAAAAAAUAUGGGAGGACUAGACCAAAACUCAUAUGUUUAAUAAAAACGAUACAUAGGUAGACUAUACCUAAUUCUAAAUUAGGUAUAGUCUAUUACAAACUAGAUGAAAGUCUAUUGUACCAAUGAAAGGAUUCUCUAUGAAUAAAUCUUAAAUUAGCAUCAGCAUACACAUUCCCUUCACGAAAAAUAUGAGUAACCCUAAACCUGAUUUUUCUACCGUAAUUAAGACAAGUAUUCAAUCGAUUACGGAGCAUCCAAGGAACAUUUGUCCUAGCACAAACCAAGGCAGAAUCACAUUUCAGUCAGACAUUAGUAAGACCCAACUUUUGAGCUUCCUCCAAAGCAUAUAUAACUCCAUAAAAUUCAGCAACCAAAGCAGUAUGAACGUCAAGAAACGCAAAGAAAGCUCCAAUAAACUCCUCCGUACUCCCACGGAAAAUACUUUCACAAGCGGCAAAACCUGGAUAACCCCUAGCAGCCCCAUCAGUGUUAAUUUUAACCCAGCCUGGUGAAGGAAACUCCCAUCUAACAGGAAGAGGACGUAGAACUUUACCAGUACGAGUGUUAAUACCAAAAACCUUGAGCACAUUGAAAUCGAACAUAUCAUUCUUCAUUGAAGCUUUAGAUGAAUUACCCACUAGACAAGUUAAAUCUUUAAUAACCAAAAUAGCCCUAGAAACCUCAAUCUUAUCCUGAAAACGAGCAUAAUUCCUCAUACGCCAUAUCAUCCAAAUAGAAAAAGUGAUCACAGCUAGCUUAAUCAAUUUAACCAACAAACUACCAACACUCUUAAUAAAAGAAAGAAGAUCAUCCUUAUUAGAGAAAUCAUAAGUAGGAAAAAUGUGUUGAACCCAACUCCAAAUACGCAAAGCAUUAACACAUUAAAAAAAAAAUGUUGAAUAGAUUCAUCGUGCUUUUCGCAAAGCGUACACAUAGAACAAAUAUGCAGACCUUUAUUUUGAUUAUGUUGAUCUGUAGGAAGCCGCCCAUGAAAAACUUUCCAAAGGACAAAAGUUUUGGAAGGCGAAAUAUAUGAAAACCAAAUAAAUUUACCCCAACCACAGAAAACCCAUGGUUUCGAGAAAAAAGUCCUAGCUAAUUUAAGAGUGAGACGACUAGACUCAUUUAGAAUUCAAUUAGAAAUAUACUGUUCCGUCAUAACCAUGAUAUGACUAAAAAAAUUAAGAUCUACUGUAAAGACAAUGGUCCAAUCACCACAUGUCCAAAACUGUGAGAACCCUUUUUUUUUACUUUAACAUUACAACUCUUACUCUUAUUAUUUUAAUAUUUUAAUAAUAUUUAAUUAUAAAUAUAUUUUUAUUAUGUUCUUUUAUUAUUAAAAUAAGGGUUGGAUACAUUUUAAGAUGUCAAAAAUACAUCUUUGUUUUAUAAUAUUCGUAUGGUGGAGAAAAUGAAAAUUUAAAUUCGUACCCUUUUACAUUUAUAAAAUAAAAUAUGAAUUUAUUUACUUCUGUAUAGGAUUUUCUAAAGUUAACUUUUCAAAUACUUUUUUUUAUCUAUUUUAAUAACCAGGAUUUCAUCCCAUAGUAAAAAUUCAUCUCAUCCUUAUUUCAUAUCCAACAGAUAUGAUUUUUUUUUAUAUUUAUAUCCACUUUUUUAUUAUUCCAAAUAUAAAGAGGAAAUGUUUUAACAAAAUAAUUACUGUCUAUAAAAGUUAUCCAAAAGUAAAACUUUUACUUUGAUGUGAAUUUUCAUAGUUUAAAAUUAAAGAAAGUUACAUGUACAAAUUAACUUUCUUCAAUUCAUAACUUUUUUUAAUAUGCAAGUAAGUCUUUUUAAAUUUUUUGAACAUUUAUAUUAAAAUAAUAAUUUUAUUUAUAAAUAAUUAAAAUAAAAAUAUUAACUUUUAAUAAAGGUCAAACAAAACGGAAAGGGGAAUAAUUGUUUAAGAAAGUUAGUUACAGAAAUACUCCUGUGGGUACAAAUUUUGGCAGUUGGUUCAGAGAAUGAUACAGUAUACACUGUUUUGGUUACCUUUUUGGAAGAGGAUAAGAAACAUAAUAAUAAAUAUUUUUGUUAAUUUAAAAGAUUUAUAAAUGAAUUAAAUAUUAAAUAAAAAAAUAGAAGUAGAAAGGAUAAAACAUAAUGAAAAAUAUUAUGAGAUAGGAAAUUGGGUGGAAGAUGAAGAAGCCAUGGAUGACAUGAGCAAAGGGUUAUGUGAUAGGAGAAGAUGAGAGGAUUAUCAUUAAUUGUAGCAUUAAUUACCAAUUAAAUACAAUCUUUGGUUGGCACCAACCACUCUUUCUCUCUCCCAUGCAAAUCUCAUGACCUUCUACCUUCUCCAUAAUUCUAUAUUCUAUUAACUAUAAUAAUAAUAAUACCAAUCAUACAACAAAGUACUACUACUAUUAUUAUUUCUUUUCUUAGUAAUACUAUUUUUUCUUUACCUUAUCAACCCCAUCCAAUUCCAUCAUCUUCAUCACUUUCUUUCUUUCAAUUGACGUUACCUUACCUCACCUUUCAAUUCAUUGUUUGUUUCCAAUCCUUUCAAAUCCCAUCAUCACCAUCAUCACAUCAUCUUAUCACCAAUACACCAACAACAAGAACAAAAGCCAUGACCUUGCACUUUGCAACUCUCUGACAAAUAAUCUGAUUCCCAGUUUGGGUUGGGUUGGGCUCUAUGGAAACUGAAAUAAUCCAGGGACCUUGGGGAUUUCGCUCUCUCUCCAAAUUCAUAGUGUGUACCAUUUCUGGGGCCCUCACCGUGUGUUUUGCCAUUGGUAAUUUAUGCCUUUUCGUUUUAUUUCCUUCAGGGAUAUGUCAAUGCUUUGUUUUGAUUAGUUGGGCGUCAAUAAAAUGAUUCUCGUCGCCCUAAAGUUGGAGUCUUUUUUAUAUUUGCUUUUGACUGUUAAGGUGGGUAAUUCUCUAGGCUUCUUGUUAAGUAGAAAAUAGAAAUAGAAGAUUAUUAUAAAUCAAAUUUAUGUUGCAUUUUUUAUGUGGCAAAACUUGGAUGGGGUUACUUGGGUGUUAUUAGUUAUGUUUUCCUAUUGAAAUUGGGUUUUAUUCAAUAAUGAAUAUGAUAGCUGCUUACAUUAAAGGUCAAUAUAGUUUUUGUCAGGUGAAACUCUAAUAUGAUUAUAAACAAAUUACUGAAAGCGCGUAAGUAUGUGUAUUUAAGUUUUUUUUUCCCUUCUUAUGAUCUGAAUUGGUGAUAAUGAAAUUAUUGUUGGUUUGAAGCUGUUGGUGAAGGUGUUAUUGUUUAUAAGGGUGGAUACUAUUCAGAGUGGAGAAUGUUUUCCUGGCCAGUAAUCACUAUUUUAGUGUUGUUAGCUGUGAUGUUUGAUUACAUUGGUCUCAUGUGGUGUUUUAUGGUUGCAGCUGGUGCAAUGACAGGAGCUAUAGCUGGAGCUUUAGCAGCUAAGGCUACAAGGAGUGGUCUUCUCCGGGGAGUUUCAUUGGGUGCCAUUGCCGGGUCUAUUCUCUCAGUGGAGGUGUUGGAAGCUUCCCGUGCAUACUGGUGUAUGGAACAAACUGGCUCACGGGGAGCAUCAUCUAUGGUUGGUAGUCAUUUUAUUGUUGAUUUUCCUUGGUCUCUGAGUAAAAUGAUUUGUAACUUUCAAAAUUAUGAGGCGCAAAAUGGUUACCCUUUAUAAGUUAUGCCUUGUACUUGCUGGUGGUAGUCUGUUCAUUAAGUAACAUUUUUAGAGCGAUUUAGCCCUCAUGCUUGGCAGUCUUAAUUCGUAGUUUAAAGCCAAUGUUUUAACAUUUAAAUCCAGGCAGAUUUCAUAGAGGAACUUGUUCGGGGGAGGCUUGUUGAGGAAUCCCUUACACCUGCCAUUUUAACUGCCUACAAUUUGCAGGUAAUUUUCCUUUACCUCUCGCACCACAUUUACCUUUUGAAAGCAAUAGUUGUAUAUGUCCGUGUAUAGAUAUAAUAGUCUUUGGUGCAUCACCCAAUGUUUGAAUUGGCAAUACUGAGUGCCCUUGGGUAUGGCCAAUUUGUGAUAAACUUAAUCUUGUAAGGCUAGUGAGUAAUGCCACUUGUUUUAGAUAUUUUUCCUUUGCCAUAUGGAAGCAGGCAAAAUGACAGUUUUUUUCCUCCUCGUCUUGGCUAGUAUAAUGACCAUAUUCACUAUUCUUGAAUUAGAGAUGAACCUCUUUUUCUUCGAAUUCAACUAAAAUUGGUUUCUGUCAGUUUGAUCAGCUUCUGCCAAAUUCAUGUAAGCUGUUUAACAAUUGAAAUCUGACUAUUGAAGUUAAAAAAGAAGGACAAUCAAACUAUUCACUUUGUAAAAAAUGUCUCUAAACAUUUAGAAUGGAAAUCAGAGUACAGUGAUCUGCUUAUAUUUGAUAUUUUGCUAAACAUAUAUAGGACGUAGUAAAGCAAAAACUAAGAUUUGACGGCUGAGAGCUUGUUUUCGUAAAGGAAAUCAUCCAUAAAGGGUACAUUAAUCAAAUCAGGAUAUAGUACCAUGGUUAAUCUAAAACCCUUUGAAGGAUUUUGUAUUUUAUUUAUCUGAAAAUUUAAGCCAAGUUGGAUGGGGGAAAACUCUAGGUAGGACAAGGAAUUCCUGAAUCAACAAUUGUCUCUGGAUGGUGGAACAUCUAGUAUCUUCAUCCCAAAUUUGCAAUCAAAAGUUAUAACUCGUGACCUUGUUGGAUUUUCAGUCCAUAGUUGGACGUCAAGAACUUCUCUCUCAAUACAGAGUGCAAAUCCUAUAAUGCCCGGUAUUCAAAAUCUGUAGACACAUGAACAAGUUUUGAAUCGUGAAUUCAAAGAUUCUGAUAGCUAUGAACUCAGAGGCAGUUUUAAUGCAUUGCUGUUUAAGGUUGCACUUGAGAACUUGAGGUGUGUCGGUUCACUGUGAACUUUGCCAACUAUGCCCAGUUGGUGGAAAAUUACUGUACAGAGGAGAAAAUUAGAGAGAAAAAAAAUGAAAUAACUGUAUUGUAAAAGUUGUUGCAUAAUAAUUAUAUCCACUUUAUAUAGUAGUAGAGAGAUUAUUUGCCACACCAAUUGAUCACAGGUGCAUCUGUAAGACUAUAACUAAAUGAUACGUAACCCACCGAAAUAUAGUACUAUCAUUGUCAUUGGAGCUAUAUAUGCACAUGAUUUUAUUUAACUUUUAAUGUUUUUUAACGACACAACUUUCAUUUUAUGCAUGCUUUCCACUGCUUUUGUAUGUUAACGAUUGUAAAUCUCUUUACGCUCUUGAUGAUUUUUGUUAACCCAUGUGUACACCACUUUGAUUUUAUUAUAAACAAAGAUUUUUAUCAAAGCUUAUUUACAUAUAACUAAUAUGAACAUUUGUAAAUCUUUGCUGAGUUGAUUGUUUAGUACUUUUUGUCGUUAAGAAGUCCAUUAUAAAUUCCGUAGUUAGACUAUCUUAUCUCGCAGUCUGUUGGAUAAUGACCAGUUUUUGACGUUUGAUCAUUCGUUUUAGUUUGAGCAGGUUGGCAUUGCUAAUGCAGGCUAUGAUGAGAUUCAUGAUGUUCAUGGCUUAGUGGCACCCAGAGGAUUGUCAGGAGAUUCACUGAAGAGGUUACCGCACCAUAUGAUCUCAAAGGAUAUGAAGGCAGAAAAUACUUGUUGUACAAUAUGUUUGCAGGUGAUUAUUAUUAUUUUUUGUUACCUGUGUGAAAACAAUUUAAAAGAACAAAGAAUAUUGAUAAGGAGGCUCUGAAAAUACUAAAUAUUAAACCACCAGUAAGUAGGUAUUAAAUUGAUUCCACAUUUGAUUUUUUUAUGAAACUGUUCAUGUAAUGGUCUCAAUAUCUAGAAGUGAAAUUUACAGGAUAUUGAAGUAGGUGAAAUUGCAAGAAGCUUACCUCGUUGUCACCAUACAUUUCACUUGAUAUGUGUGGACAAAUGGCUUGUAAAGAAUGAUUCCUGUCCUGUGUGCAGACAGAAUGUGUAACUUGUUCCUUGGGUAUUCUGAGAUUAUCUUGACGGGAAAAUGUAUAAGUUGUAUUAUUUGUUUAUAUAAAUUGCAUUAAGUUUUUUACAGUGGACUUUGGCAUUUUGUAGUAUUCUCUGUUGUAAUUAUUAAUAAGACUAUUUGGUAUGAAAGCCAAUGCCCAAUAACAAAUUUUUGGGAGAAAAAAAAUGAGAAAAUGGUAUAUGUGAAUGAAUGAUUCUCUUGUUUCUUUCGUAAACACGUUACAUUUUUCUAAUUACAUUAAUUCAUUGUACAGUGUUCGGUAUUAUUUUCAAAUACGAGAAUCCAAGACUAACGCGCUAUAGCAGAAAUUUCAGCCCAUGAAUAAUUUAACUAAUGAUAUUGAUUUUGCUGGCGUGUGAAUUUGUCGUGCCACUUCCUUGGUAUUAUUCUUUAAGUAGUUUUUUCAAAGUCACCAUCAGGCCAGCUAAACCACCAUUCUCUUAAAGCAACAUGGCUAUUGGUCAAGAAUUGUAGGCACCUAUCUGUACAUUGUUUCCAACAAGUAGGUUUUGUAUAUAUUUUAGCACGGGACACCAGUUUUAGCAGUAAUAUAUGUAAUAGAUAUAACAUAAGAUUAACUUUGCGUGUAGGCCAAUGGAUAGUCAAUUGUUAGCUUAAGAAUUUGGCAGCAUAGCGGUAAGAUCAAAUGUAUGAAAAUUUGCAUACACGCUCUCUAAUAAGAAUUUGAAGUUAUUUGGUCAUUAUUCCUUUUUCAAGGGGUCCUUUCCUCUAUCAGGAUCUAGAAGAGCAACUGACAAAAGAAACAUUUAUUUUGCUGGUUUUCUCAAUACUUGUAUUCAAAGAAAGCACAACUGCUUUACAAUAUGGGGAAUAGAACUGAACUGACAGGUUACAGGCUGAUAUAAACUAUAGGGCUUUAACUAGAAUUUUGUCCCUAUAUGAUUAUACACAAACUACGCAACACAGCAGCCGCCUUACUUGACUGAUUUCUUAUAGUUAAUUCCAGAGAAAAGCAAUUGCCAGUGGUGACAGCAAGCCAGGCAACAUAAUAGUGCCCUAUAGGCCGCCAAUCCAUGAAUAAUGUCUGCCAGGUUCAAACAGAGCAAAACCAGGAGUGAGAAUGACAGUUAAAAUGAGAUCAUUUUGUGUUUCCAGCUGAGCAUUUGAAGCAGUAUUGCAUAAUUAUCAGUCAGAUACAUGUGAUAAUUGAGUCAGAAGUAUAACAUUAUUAUACAAUAUUUUUCACAUGGAAAUUGGCUCGUGGUCGUAAGCAAUGUCUGCCAUUAUUUUUAUUUCUCAUAUUGGCAGUCAAUUUUGUUUGUAUUCAACCAUCCCAUCAGAAAAUUGAUAUGUCAAACUUUAAAGGAGAGACCUCUAUGUUGCGAAAAUGCAGCUUACAUUGGAGCGUAGAAUAUUGCACACAUUCACACAGCAACUGCUUCAGGUCUUUUGCUGGUUUUGAUUCCUCUUAUAGCUACAAGGGAGUUGAAGCCAGGAAAAUCAUCAAAAUCACAAUGAAUUUACAAUCAUUGCAGUAUCAACUCACAUAAAAUAUUAUUUUGGGUACCUUCAGCAUAAUCUUUAGCUCCAAACACAGCAGAACCAGCAACCAGUGCAUUGGCUCCAGCCUCAAUUACCUGCCAAACAAGAUUAUACUAAAAAUUGGAUCUUACAACUCAUAUGGAACAAUCUUAUUACUAUGCCUUGUUGAAAGCAUUCUAAUCCAAUGAACAAAAAAGAAUGAACUUCCUCCUCAUUAUUUCUUUUCAAUUCUUUGUUCCGUCCAAAAAAAUAGAGCACUUAGCCAAAAUACAGAGGUAUAAAUAAAGUUGAAGUACAUUCACCAAAAGAAGUAUAAAUAUAAACUUGAACUGCGUGAACAGAUUGAUUAGAUACACAUGUCACAUCAUAUGUUUCCCAAUAUUUUAUGAUGAGUUAGUUCAUUGAGCACAAUCAGAUUAUGUUCACCAAGAAGACUUGUUACAAGAUCAUUCUAAAUUAUAAACGGACGGAAGACAAUAUGAUUAUGGCACCUUGUAAGCAUUUGCUGGUCCAACUCCACCAUCUACUUCAAUCCAUGGAUUUACUCCCUGAAGAGAAAGAGAGAGAACACAGAUAGAGAUUAUGUAUGACAUAACAGUAGGGGGAAAACAAAAAAUAAUACACAGUAAUACAAAUACAACACCAUACCUUCUCUGCGCACAAUCUUCUCAAAUCAGAAAUUUUCUUUACUUGACUCUCAAUAAAACUCUGGCCACCAAAGCCAGGGUUUACAGACAUAAUUAAGACCAAAUCAACCACUGCCAACACAAUAACAAGAUUAAGAGCUUUUAAUUUUUAACUACUAAAACAUUUUGUAUAAAUGUAAUUCAAUAGAUCGCAAUAUGUUGUGAAAGAAGUUGUUUCACUCUCUUUUACCCCCUUAGUGAGGUAAAAAAAUGCCCAUGCAUUUCUCGUGAGAAUAAAGAUUAAGAAAAAUAAAUUUUACUCCUAUAAUUUGUUAAUUUAUUUGAACUAAAGCUUUAAAACAAGAAACUAAUUACAAAAAUGUGCAGAACAUUAAAUAGAACUACACUAUUACUAGCAGAAUGAAAGUUUAACUACUUAAUGAUUGAGCAAAAAAUCUAAAGUUCUUGAUCUUUCAAAUUAAUUGACUUUCAUAAAAUAUUAUUCAGUGGACCCAAAAAUGAAAAAAAAAUAAAGAAAACAAAGACAUGAUCUAAAUAACAACAGAGAAGUCAAGUCUGAUUCACCCAAAAACUAGCAUAGUAUGUUUGAAUUUAGAUUUGAGAGUAAACUGCAAAACCUUAAGCAUAGGACUACACUGCUAUUAAACCUGCUGACUAAAUCAUUGUCUUCUGUUUAUAAAUUAAAACUUUCUGUUACAAUACAAGUAUUGUCGAAACACAGGAACAGUUUCACAAAGCUAAAAUUGCACCCUUCUACUAAAAAAAAUAAUGCAGUGAAGAAACAGAACUCCCAGUUAACUAACAGAUUUGCUAACCUUUCUAUUCUAAACUCAAUGGAGAGUAGGCUGGUAUUGGUCCAUGGUUAAAGCUUAGAAAGCCACAUUAAGAAUACUGGGAAGUCACAAAUAUUAAAUAGGACGACUAAUGCUAUCAUUGUAUAAUGAAAAGAAACAGUAAAAAUGGCUCACCAUCAAGGAUGUAUUCAAUUGCGCUUAAGGGAGUUCCAGGGUUUAAGACAACUCCAGCUUUAGCUCCCAGAUUUUUUACCUAAAUCAGGAGAAUGAAGUCAGGUAUAUUAGCAGAAAAAUUAAAGCAAGAGUGGGGAAAUUCCCAUGUUUCCAAGGAAUAAUUUCAACUGUUCAGUUCCCUAGACGGCUUUUAACACUAUUGCAUAUAACAAUUUGUGGUUCUGAAAGAAAGAAACCAACUCUGAAAUGGAUAUACUCAAAAGUAAGGCCUUAUAUUUCACACCAUGGUGCAAACAUAGAUUCAGACAAAGGAAAACUUCUGAGAUGGUAUAAGGCUUCCAAAUUCUAUUUAUUUAUUUAGACACUUGACCUGAAGAGGCAACCAUUCCACAUUCAGAAUAAGAAGCGCAACUUCAUAUAGCACUGGGCAAUUAGAUAAAGAGACCAAUGCCUUCUACUGCAUUUUUUCAUAACCAAAAUAAUAGGUGAUUAUGAACCCAAACCAACCAAGAAAAGGAUAAAAGAGACAUGCGAACCCAAGCAAACCAACCAAUUAGCAUCACAGGUCUCAAGAAAAUAUUGAAAGAACAUGUAACAGCAAAAAAGAAUUUCACCUUUUUUGAAGAAGUUUUAAAAAUGCUAAAUUCAUUCUAAGGUCAAUCCUGGUUUAAGAAUUUCCUUGAUAUAACAUUUGGCUUUCUGCUUCUUCAAAUGGUUAUAAACACUCCCAUGCUCAAAUGCUUCACGAAAAAGUACACCAAUUUCAAUAUAACAAUUUGGUCAGGCAAAUUGAUGUCUUAAAUAGAACGGAAAACUGCUAUGGUUAUUUCUUUAUCCAGUCCUCAGACUGCCUUGUUAAUGCUCCUCUAUCCACAUCGUGAAGAAUAGUCUAUAGAUAUCCUUAAUAAUAUAAUUAACCAAGACAUUCCUUUACUGUUACUUAAAUCUCAUACAUUUGUCCUAGCAUCAUGUGACUAGUACUGUCUCCUUGACAACAAAAAUCUCAAAUUGCAUAUGUUCAGCUCCUUUAAUAAUUUUUAUUUUAUUUACAAUUGAUUAAAGUUGGUUCCCUUGGUAUCAACUUUCAGUUGGAACAACGUCGGUAAAAAAUUAGACAGUUCAGGAGGAAAUCUUACUUCAUUAACUGUACGGUGCAAAUGGAUGGUGGAAGAUUGUUCACAAUGAACACUGACAAUAUCAGCUCCUGCCUUGAUAAAAUCUGGCACCCUUUGUUCAGGCUCCACAAUCAUCUAAAGUAUUUCAAAAAAAGUAAGAAAAGUACCUAGAUUCAGUAUCAGCUUAAAUUUGUAUGCGUAUAUAGAUUAUUAGAUGAAUACCAGGUGCACAUCCAAAGGAAGAUCUGUCACAGGGCGCAAUGCAUCAACCACAAGAGGUCCAAUUGUAAUAUUUGGAACAAAGCGACCAUCCAUUACAUCAACAUGAAUCCAAUCACAACCAGCCAACUCUACUGCUUUCACCUAGACAAGAUAACACACGAACUCCAACAUUCAUGAUUAGUUCCUAGAAAACAAAAGGACGGGUUCACUAGCAAUUAGAAAAUUUGAUAAAAUGAGUAUGAAAUAUAGUACAUUGUAAACACUUUGGACCGAAGACCUUUCCAUGUUUGAGUAGUGGCAAAACAAAACAUUAAAAACUGAAAUACUGAUAACAGAAUGAAAAGUAUGUUACAAAACCUGCUCUCCCAAUUUUGAAAAGUUAGCAGAAAGAAUGGAUGGAGAAACAAUGAUAUCGCUUUUUGAAAACUUGUCAACACGGGAUGAAGCCUUCACAAUGGUUGAAAUUUUCCUCCUGAAUUCACAAAGUAGAAAGUUAAAAAGGGACAUUAAAGAAGGCUAUAAUUCUUUCAAAGCCCAAACCAUAUCUAACAAAGUAUACAUGCACUGCAAUCUGCAUAAAUAUGUAUCGAUCACAAGAAAGUUGUUUUAGAACUCCACAUGAACACAAAGGUCACAAAUAAAUACAUGGAAAUGCUGGGUCAUAAAAUGAAGCUCUGAAGCUACCAAUUUUAAGCCUAUGGACGAGAUUCCCAAACCUCACGAAAUAAACAGCAUAAUAAGUUGUCACAAACAAUCCUCCCAGAUGAAAAUGACAUGAAUUCAAACCAGGAGACAAUGCAUGAUGAUGGCAUGAAGUGAAUCAUUUAACUUUUAAAUUAUCUGAGUGCAAGCUACCCAAAGGUCGUUGUUUUCUUUAAAUUUGAACAGACACUAUUGUCCAGUUAUCUCCACAAACACCCACAAUGACAUAAAGGGAUCCCAGAGAGUGGAUUUGAUUUGAUUGUGAAUCCAAAACACAGGAGUGAAAUUCAUGAGAAAUUCAUCCUCUGGGUGUCUCCUUUAGGAAUAAGACGUAUGGUUCCCAAAUGAAGAAAGUAGGAAGUAUGAAGGGAAGUGGAUGUAAGAAUAGGAAUACCUGGAGAAAGUGAGGGAACGAGGAUGAAAGAGAGAGGCCUUGUGAAGGUAGAGGCCAUUGAUUUGGGAUUGGAGGGUGGAUGAACACAAGGAAGAAGUUGCAGCCAUCUCCUUCUUCAACUAAAUUCAAGUUUCUUACCAAUCCUGUGGCUUCACAACAGAGUGCGUGUGUUGUGUGAAUUGGUUACCAUUUUGUAAUAUAAAAAAUGGAAAAUGAGGUGAAUGACACGUGCCAUUUGGUUUGGUGGAGAUGUGCUUAUCUGAAACGAUUGGCGCUCGGCUUCUCUCACCACACCUCUCACUUAACCAUACCACAAACUAUUUUUGCCUUCAAUUAUUAAACAUUGUCCUUCAUUAAUGAAAAAUAACUUAAAAAUAAUUUAAAAAAUGACAAUAAUAAUAAUUAUGAUUAUUUAUAUGAUAUAUAUAAUUUAUUACCUAGGUCAGUACAUAAAUUUAAGAAAAUAAGAAUUAAAGUUUAAGAUAUUUGCUUGUAACUUUAUGAAAAUGAAACUCCUAAUGAGGAGAAUUAUCAACAACACUAAUAUUACUUUUAUUUAAUUAAUGGUUUGUUUUGACUUUUUUUAAUAUUGACUAGAGAAAACAUUAACUAGGUGUUUUUUUUUUGUCAAUUUCAGUUUCAACUAACAGAGAAGUCACACAAAAAAUCUCUAAGUCAUAAAAAUAAUUCUGAUAAAUGUUAGGCUAAUAUAAUCGUGCUAGACAUAAAUAAAUUAAAAAAAACCUUGACUGUCAAUGAAUGAAAAACUUUGAAGGUUAGAAAAAAAAGUUUUAACAAAAAUCGACAAAAACAAACAUAAACUAAGAUUGAGUAAAAAAGAUAAUCAAUAUUCACAUUCUUGAAUUAUUAAAAAUUGUUCAAAUAUUUAAAUAAUUUAUCUCAUCAAAUAAUUGAAAUAAUUUAUUAAAAAAAAAGUUGAAAUCCAAUAAAUUAAGAAGCUUAAGGAGGUUGUACAUCAAUAGACAUUUUGCUAUCUAGCACCAUUUACAAUUUUAUUUCCCUAACUAACACCCUUUUGCUUUUAUUUUCCUAUCUAGCACCCUUUUGUUUUUAUUUCCCUACCUAACACCCUUUUAUUUUUUAUUUCCCUAUCUAGCACCAUUUUAAAAAAUAAAUAAAUAAAUAAUAAUUUUUUUUUUGAUAAUUUUAAUUUUGAAUACAUUAAAAAAUAAGUAUUUUUAAUGUUUAAAAUAGUUAGUUAUAAUUAAUAAAUAAAGAAAUGAGUUUUUACAAAAUAAAAAUAAAAAAAUAAUAAAUUAAAAAUGUUUAGUUUAAAAUUAUUUUGUUAAGAAUGAAGAAAAUAAGAAAUUAAACCCUACAACAACAUAAAAGUUGAAUCUAUAAACAUAAAUUAGUAUUUAUUUUUAUUAUUAUGAUGAUGUAAUCAUGUUAAUUUCAAGUAAAAAAUACAGGACAUAAUUAUAAAAAACCAAAGUCAAUUAGUAUUAAUUAAUAAUGGACACAUAAAUAAUAUUGAAGUGUCUACCUUAAAUGCAAAAUCCUAAAAAAAAUAACUAAUGCAAAUGCUACACUUAAUGCUUAAAAAUGAGAAGAAAAAAAUGCAAAAAUAAAUAAGUAUAGAAAAUAAAAACAACAAUAAUAAAAUAAAAACAAAAAACAAAAAUAAAUAAACAAUGGCAGAAAAAAAUAAUAACUAAAAACAUAUAAGAUAUAAAAUAAAGAAAAAACAAAAUAAGAUAAAUAUACAAGAUAUAAAAAAAAAUCCAAACAAGAUAAAUAUAUAAGAUAUAAGACAAUACUAAAUAAGUAGAUGUUGAUCAUAAAAAGAAAAAUAAAUUAAAGAUGAUCAUUCAUUUAAUAUUUUCUUCAAUGGUACAUUAAAUAGUUUGUGCGAAAUGAAACAUAAUUAAUGACGAGAAGUGCACAAUUCAAUGAUGUUGGGACAUGUUUUUUUUUGUGUGUCAUGGUGUUUGACAAUAUGAACAUUUUUUUGUUUAAUUAUGUUGUUCUCUUAUGUCCAUAUCAGUCCUUAUUCGACUUGACUUAGGUCUCUCCUUAUGCAAACCAAUACUCUUUAUUUAUGAGUUUCAUCAAAUAGUCUUUCGUAACAUGAAAGAUCUGAUGCAAUGUUGCUGUUUUAAUUUUCUAUAUUUAUUUAUUUUUACAUUUUUCUUCUUCUCCUUUUUAAGCAUUAAGUGUAGCAAUUGCAUUAGCUUUUGUUUAGGAUUUUGCAUUUAGGAUAGAUAGACACUUCAAUAUUAUUUGUGCGUUCAAUAUUAAUUAAUACUAAUUGACUUUGAUUUUUUUAUAAUUAUAUCCUGUAUUUUUUACUUGAAAUUAACAUGAUUACAUCAUCAAUAAUAAUAAAAAUAAAUAUUAAUUUAUGUUUAUAGAUUCAACUUUUAUGUUGUUGUAGAGUUUAAUUUUUUAUUUUUUUCAUUCUUAAAAAAAAAUUAAACUAAACAUUUUUAAUUUAUUACUUUUUAUUUUUAUUUUGUAAAAAACUCAUUUCUUUAUUCAUUAAUUAUAUUUCUAACUAUUUUAAACAUUAAAAAUACUUAUUUUUUAAUAUAUUCAAAAUUAAAAUGAUAAAAAAAUUAAUUUAUUAUUUAUUUAUUUAUUUUUGAAAUGAUGCUAGAUAGGGAAAUAAAAAAUAAAAGGGUAUUAGAUAGGGAAAUAAAAACAAAAAGGUGCUAGAUAGAAAAAUAAAAACAAAAAAAUGCUAGAUAGAAAAAUAAAAGUGUAAAUGGUGUUAGAUAGGGAAUUGAGCCAAGUUACACUCUUAGUAUUUAUAAUUUAUAUUCAAGGUUGAAAAACUAUUUUAGUAGGUAUUUUGUUGAUCACACUGGUAAUUUCUAUACCAAAACCAUAACAUAAAUUGAAAAAAAAUAAGACCCUAUAAGAAUAAUAAUCAUGAGAAAUUUCGUAAAUCAACCAAGAAAAUUUUCAUAAUCAAGCAAUUUUUUAUCAGAUUUUAGACUCUGAUUAAAGACCAAAUCUGAAUCUUUUUAAUAUUAUUAUUUCAUAUAUGGUAAAAUCAAUAUAAUACAAAAUUUAGAAGAUAAAAAAAGUAAAGAAUAUUACUAUCAAGAGAACCAAAUAACCUUAAAAAAAUCUAUCUAUAAAGGAGAGAUUCUGAAAAAAGAAAAAUGAAUGUUGUACCUUGAAAAGUCAUUGUAAACAAUAUAUACGAAUAAACAGGGCUAUCCACAUGACAUUACAGUGCAUUUUUACGAGGUUUGGUUAAUUUUUAUUGAAUUAUUUGCGGGAAUAAUUUUUUAUUCAAUUAGUUGCACGAAUUAUUUAUUUAAUUCUUCCAAACCGACUUUUUUUUAAUACGUAAAGGAAGGUUGUUACUAAUUAGUUAAAUAAGAGGUAUUUUUGUGUGGCUUCUUUGAGAUAUUUAAUCCAUAAUUCAUUCAUUAACUGCUCAACAAGCACUAAUCACCAUUUUUAAUGUUCUUUGAGAGUUAUCUUCUUUCUGCCGCGAGCUCGCAUUCAUAAUAACAUAAAACAGGUUUCACAGAAUUUACUAAUUUCGAGGAACUCAAGAUUCUGUCUAUUUAGCAAGACAUGAGAUACUUGAGAGUUCCUAGAAGAGAAGCCAAAAGACAAGACAAAGCUCAAAAUGAAAUUAUCCAAAAAAGAGGGAGAAGCCCACAGCAAAAUGUUAAAUUAUUAAAAUUUUGAAAUAAAUUCAUUUUUACUCUUUUUAAUUUAAAAGUAUUUUAGUAUUUAAAUUUUAAAAAAUCUCAAUGAUUAAUAUAAUAAUUAAUUAUUUUUAUUCUUAUAUAAAUUGUAUAAUUUAUUAUUUGAACAGUAUGUAGGUGUAGAAAGUAGGUAAAACCGAAAAAUUAAUAAAUGUGACAUCAUUUUUUAUGUUUUUGUUUGAAUUUUAAAAUGAAAAUCCGCGGAGGUUGCCAUGAAUGAAUGCAGUUUACCAGUGGCACCGACAGUGGAUUUACAUGAUUUCAUCCAAUUUUGAGAAACACUAAGAUUAUUAUUAUCCUAAUUUUGAGAGAAGUACAACGUUAUUAAACCAUUGUAACCAAAAAAAUUAAUGUCUCUCGCAUCAUGAUCUGCUGCGUCUAAACCAAAUCACUCUCUCUGCUCCAACACCCACUCACUCCCACUCAGUGCAUUCAUUCACUGUUGUACCACCAAUUUUUGUGAUGAAGAAGUUCUCAUUCUCACACUCCGAUUUGGACUCUAAAUGUGCCUUCAGUCUCUCUCUCAUGCGUUUGAUGGCUUUUUUCGUCGCUUCUUUCGUCCUCUGCUCUGUUGUUUUCUCACUCUCUGUUGUUCUUCGAGACCCUCCCUCAGAUGCCGCCCUUCGCGAAUCCUCAUCACUCAACCCUCUCUUUCAAAUCACUCAAGGUACCUUUUUCAUUUAUUUGCUGAAGGGGUAACUACUUUCACCUUUUUAUCCCACCCCAUUCCUGAAGUUGUAACAUUUCCUUUCUUCCUCCUCUUAUGACUUGUAGAUUUGAACAAUGAUACCUCUGAUUCUGUUGAGUUGCUUCAAGAUAAACUGCGCGGUGGCCUUCUAGUUGAUGGAUUUGAUGAAAGUUCUUGUCUCAGCAGGUACCAAUCAGCCAUGUAUCAUCUCAGAGGGCUGUCAGGAAAUCCUUCUUCUUACCUCAUUUCUAGGUUAAGAAAAUAUGAAGCUCAACACAAACAGUGUGGACCUUACACUGAAUUCUAUAACAAAACAGUGGAACAACUUAGGUCUGGUAAAUUUACAGAGUCCUCUCCUUGUAAAUAUGUUGUAUGGAUUUCAUUUAGUGGGUUAGGGAAUAGGAUAUUGACCCUAGCUUCUGCAUUUCUCUAUGCUCUUCUCACAAACCGUGUUCUGCUGGUUGACCCUGGAGUGGAUAUGGUUGAUCUUUUUUGUGAGCCAUUUCCAGAUGCUUCCUGGUUUCUCCCUGCUGAUUUUCCUCUUACUGCUCAGUUUAAUAAUUUCAGUCAGAAUUCUGAUCAAUGUCAUGGGAAAAUGCUGAAAAAUAAAUCGGUUGUAAAUUCCAAUGUUCCUUCUUUUGUCUACCUUCACAUAGUCCAUGAUUAUGAUGAUCAUGAUAAGCUUUUCUUUGUGAUGAAGAGCAACAUUUUCUCCAGGAAGUGCCUUGGUUAGUGAUGAAAACAGAUAAUUACUUCGUCCCAUCUCUAUUCUUGAUGCCAUCAUUUGAGCAGGAACUGAAUGAUCUCUUCCCAAAUAAGGAAACAGUUUUCCAUUUCUUGGGUAGGUAUCUGUUCCACCCCACUAACAGUGUGUGGGGACUUGUUACCAGGUACUAUCAAGCUUAUUUAGCUAAAGUCGAUGAAAGAGUAGGGAUACAAAUUAGAGUGUUUGACACAGAACCUGGUCCAUUUGAACAUGUAUUGGAUCAGAUCUUAGCUUGUACUUUGAAGCAGAAACUUUUGCCUGAUGUUAACCAUCAGCAGGAUGCAAUCAAUUCAUCAGGAAUUUCCAAGUCAAAAGCGGUAUUAAUGGCAUCCUUAAGCUCUGGCUAUUUUGAAAAGGUAAGAGACAUGUAUUGGGAAUAUCCUACAGUGACAGGAGAAGUGGUUGGUGUUUACCAGCCGAGCCAUGAAGGAUAUCAGCAAACACAGAAGCAGACGCACAACCAAAAAGCUUGGGCAGAAAUGUAUCUCUUAAGCUUAACUGAUGUGUUGGUCACAAGCUCUUGGUCUACUUUUGGCUAUGUGGCUCAGGGGCUUGGAGGUUUAAAACCAUGGAUUCUGUACAAACCUGAGAAUCGAACAGCCCCAGAUCCCCCCUGUCGACGUGCCAUGUCAAUGGAGCCAUGUUUCCAUGCUCCUCCUUUCUAUGACUGCAAGGCCAAGAGAGGAACUGACACAGGUGAACUUGUUCCAUAUGUGAGGCACUGUGAGGAUAUGAGCUGGGGCCUUAAGCUUGUAGACAGUGAUAGUUAUCGCUAGUUAUGGCCAGAUACAAAUACAAUGUAUGCUAUUAUGAAAACCCAGUUAUGAUGUGUUCCAAAAAUUUUGUUGUAAAAUAGAAUGAGUUAUUUCUUUUAGACAUGUAUCUAUUGUUCACUCCGAGAAUCAUGGUAUUAGCUUUACUAUUUUAGGGCUAUUGAAUGCGUAGAAAUGACUUUUUAUCUUUUAAUUUUGUCUAAAUCGAUAAAUAUUAGUUAUUAAUGUCUUAAGUUUUGUUAAUAAGAGAAUUCGAAUUCAUCAGAUAUUCUUGGUUCCAUCUACUUUUAUUCAUUAAGUUAAACUUACAUUCAUUUAUUUGUGACUUCAAAUUAUAUUAUUCUUUUAUAAGGCACAAGAGCUUCAAAUUUUCAGUCACUGAUAUUCCGGUGGUUGUGACCUCAGUUACAGGGAAAAAGAAUGUUCCCUUACAUAAAGUCACAAUGGAGUUCAUUUCAUCAAUCAUUCUUGGCGGAACUAUCACAUAGCCAUUUUCAUUCUAUUCUAAUAACUGCUAAACAUGUCUAUUUCUUGAAUAUUCUUUCAGAAAGUUAGUCUCAACUCGUGGACCUGAUACGUAUAAUAAUGUAUGACAAACAAACUACAAAGUGAUACAAGAAAGUCCCAUCUCAUCUCAAACGUAUUCUAUUGUUGUCUGUCUAUUUUCCUAUUCCAAAUGCAAUAAAACCAUUCAUGAUUUAGGCAUAUUACCUUUUAUUCCCUACAAUCUCAUAAGUAUCAGAGAAGCAACAACAAUAUAUACAUCUGGUAAACAUUACCUGUAAAUUAUGAAUCACAUUCUCGAUGGGAAAGAAUGGGGAAGGAAGCAUCAUCCAAGCAUCUGACCACAUAAUUAAUUAAGUGUCUAAUAAAUACUUUGAAAAUCAACUUCUUUCUUCUUAUGCAGAGAUCAGUUCUUUAUACAGAUCUCUCUCUUUUCUUCCCAAUAUGGAAAUGAAAACUAUGCUCAGUUUAGCAAUUAAUUUGAAUGAACAGUUUCUUGUUUCACCUCUCUUAUAAACAAUAGUGAAAUGAUUGCCUUCACAUUGUACAGUGAUACUAACAUUGUAUAAAUAUUUAUGAAAUGUGCCAUAAUACAAAUUAAUAAUCCCAGCCCCACCAAGAUUAAGGAGUGCAUUAAACCAAUAACAAAGAAUGAAGAACAAACAGCUACAAAAGAAAACCACCUUCUGGGUCCGAUCUUCAAUGAUGAUCCAGCAGGUUCUUGUAAAAAAAAGUGUCAGUUCUUUAGUCCAUGCGAAAAAUAUUACUUAAUUGCUUAAGAUUCGACUUGUCUAAUGUUGUUGGAUAGUGUUGAUUUCUUGGGCUUGAAUAUAAUAAGCCCAACGUUUGAUCUGACAAGAAAUCCUUGAAAACGGGCCAUUCAGAAAGUGUUGAUUGUAAUGUUGAUGUUGUUAACAAUUUGUAUUAACAAAAAAAAGGUUAGGAAGAUAUGGUUUUGGUGUGAAUUGAUAGUGGAUGGGAGAAGUUAGUGGAAGCAAAGAUAGCAGAAUGGGAGCGUAAUGGAGAAAAAAUUGAAGAGAAAAGGUCGCUAUCAGGGAAGAAUAUAUCUUAAUCUCAAGUGUUUACAAAAAGGUUGAGAAAACACAAAGUUAGGAGGCACAUCUCCAUCCUAUCAAAUUCGAAUCAUUUCUAAUCCAAGUCAAAGAGAUCAAAAGUAAAGCUUUUGGAAAUUGCCAAUAAAGUAAGCAACUGUGUAUAUUUUCACGCCUCUUUUCUUAUUGCAUUCCAAUUAAUCCACGCUUUUUUAGUUUUUGGUAAAAAGAGGGGAUUAUCAACGUAUUUAACACACGGAAAUUAAAUAUCAUAUUAUCCACAUAUUCCAAUGCUUCUUCACAAAAAUCUAAUCACUCAUUAAAACUACUUUCCUAUUUCUUUACACAUCUCUCACCAAUCAAAACAACAUCCAUGGCUGUAGCCUCUUUUCAUAUUUGGCAAAUUACUAUUUGCUCCACUUUUUCAAUUUUUCCAUCAAAUUUUUCUUAAAAACACUACAGUAGAUGUCAUUUUAAUUUUUAUCCCCCACAAUUACAAUUCCAUACAUACCAUAUAUACACAUCAUAUUUGACUUGUAAUUCAUUAUCAUAAUAAAUUAUUAAAAGUACUUGUUUUAAUUUGAAGGAGGUGAUGGUAAGUAAUGAUAAAAAAUUACAUUUUUUUUUUUGCAAACUUUGAAGCACCACCUUCUAAAUCAGCCUUGGCACAUGGACACUUUGAGGAUAUAGAAAUGAUAUUGAUAUGAUGUGGAUGGAACCAAUUCCCUAAGAGUUGACCCUAAUAGUUUAGUGGGCAAGUGUAAUGAAGGUGAAAUAUUUGGCCUUAUUUUAGAGGACUAACAAGAAAUGUAAGCAUAUGAAAUUUUACCAAAAGAAAUUUGUGGCAUAUGCGUUUAGAAGUUUUGUAAUGAAUAAUGACACCAAAAGAGUCCACCUAUGAGGCACCAUUCCCUUCCGAAACAAAACUCCAAUUUGGCUUUGAAUUGAAGCCCCAAUUGGAUUUCCCCAAGGUGUGGUUGUAACUUAUAUGAUAUUUUCCAAAGUUCAAAUGAUCUCUCUUCACCCUUUCACAUAAGGUAACCCCACUUUUCCUGAAACCCAAUUACAUGGCUCCAUAUUGCCAUUGACAUGAUGAGGUGCAUGGGCUUGGAUGAAUGCGUAUCAAUUUGUUGAAUGAGAUCUCUUUUACUAUUAGUUUCAUUUAUGCAUAAAGGGAAUGUACUAACUAACCAUAUAAUUUCUUAUUCUAGGAAAAUGACCAUUUGUUCGAAAUGUCUCACUCCUACACCACACUGCAAUCAUUUUGUGUGGUUACUAGGCCAAGGAAAUAAGGCUAACAUUGACCUUUCACUCUCUUCUGCUUUGGAUUAAGCUUCAUUAUAUAUACUUUUUACAAAUAAAAUCUCCAUGGAUAUCUCUAUUUUGUGUUCAUUGUUUGCAUCUUUUAUUUUUAUAAUGUUUCCACUUACUUCAUUUGGAUACCACGUUGGAAGUAUAUCAAUAAUAAAACUCCAUUAAGUGGCCUCAAGGGUGUGAAAUAAUUGACAUUAUCUAAUCAUAGUAAGAAUCAACAUUGUGGUUAGCAAACAUGAUAGUGACACGUGACAACAUGAUCCCAUACACGUAGUUUCCCAUGGCCCUUUAUUCUUGGAAUUCUUUCAUUUCUUUUUCAAUUACUCGUUUGCUUUAUUCACUUUUUUUAUGUAUAGAUAAAGGAGGAAUGCUUAUUUUAUUAGUUUGCGAGAUCCAUAAAGAUAACUACUAAAAAAUAAGGUUGUGUGAAAAAUUAUUUAUUUUAAAUAUUAUGUUAUCUCUGUCAUGGUAAGCUAAUUUGUUCAUUUUCAAGUGAAGAUGUUUAGAUAUUAAUCAUGGUGGCUUGUGAAUAUUUGUUCAUGGGAUUGUGAGAAAAAAUAGAAAAAUUCUUAUAGAACAAUGAUUGAAGGCUGAGUGGGUCGUGAAGACCAGAAUCACACACAAUAAUGGAAAUCAAUUUUUGCCUUUUGGACUUUGGCAGGGCACUGCCACACGGAAGUAAGUUUUGUGCACUCUAAAUAUUAUAUUACAAUAAUUUUCAAUAUGUUAAAAUAUAGUAUGUAAAUGGCAUUAUAUUUGACCUAAAUUAUGAUAAAAUCUCAAACAUAAAAAAUUAUUACUUCAAGUGCUUAUAAAAAAUUCAAACAGACUGCUUUCAUGACAUUUUGGUAAGAGACAACUGUCACAUUCUCGUGGGUUUUAUAAUUCCACUUAAGAGAAUACCUUAAGAUAAACUUAUCUUAGAACAACAUUUUUGUUAUCAAAAUUGUAUUAUUGUUAAAAAUAUAAUUGAAGUGUUCAACAUAUCAUACAAUUCAUUCUCCUUUUCUUCUUUAUUCAUGAUAAAAUUCAAAUUACUCUUAAUUCAUAUACAUAAUUUAAAUUUAUUUAAAAUGAUAUUUGUAAAAUAAUUUGUGUAACAACAUAUUUUAUUUAUAUAUUAUAUAUAAUUUAUUACAUGUCAUAAUAACAAAAGGAAAUAAAAAACACAACAAAUAAUAUUGCGUAAAGUAUUACAAAGUUUAUUUUAUGAUUUUUAACAAGAAAAAAAUUAUUUAUAAAUUUAAAUUAGUUAUACAUAAAAAGAAAUAGUUAAUAUUUUUUUUAAAGUGAUAAUUAAAAAAAUCUUCAAAAGAAAGUUUAUAUCUUAACCUAAUUAUCUCUUAAAGAAUAUGUUUGACUAAAUUUAUUUUUCAACUUUUCUAAAAAAAGUAAGAUAAAUCAUGUGAAAUAUUAGUAUUUGUUGAUUUUUGACUGUAGAUAUAAAAUGUUAUAGAUAAUAGAGAAAUAUGUAAAAGAAGAAAAAAAUGUGAUGGGUAGGGAAGAUGGCAGCACUUAGGUUUGGACAGUUAAAAAGGCCUAACUUUGUCCUUAGUCUGACAUCAGACGGUGUGGGACACACUCCCAUUCCCAAUUCUCGUUAGGGUAAGUCAGGUACCUCAGCUACUGCAUUCCUUACACAAUCUUCGAUGCCACAACAAAUUUUCAUGUUUUCAACCUUAACCAUUUUUUUCACUUAUUUUGUGUCACCAUGCAGUGGCUGAACGAAAAAUAUAUUUAUUCUUAAAAUUUUACUCAUGUUGAAAGGACAAAUUUUAGUUUUAACAACCUAAUAAUAAUUUAAUUUUCUAAUUUUGAAACCUGGAAUGCCCUAGGGCACAGGAUGAUGAUGAUGAUAAGGUAGUUGGUGUUUCUAAACUUAUACCAAAUUGCACCAAUCAAAGGAUAGAGCCAGAAAAGUAAUAACAGCUCCUGCAAAGUUAAUUUUUUAUUUCAAUCUCAUUCCUACAGUGAAAUAUACUAAAUAAAAUUAAACAGGUGAUAGGGCAAUGUAGAAGGGAGGGUAAAAUUUUUGAGAAAGGAUAAGGGUGUUGGAGUGGUGUGGUGUGGUUAUAUGAUGAAGAAAAUGAAAUAUUAACAGUGAAUAUCUUUUUUAACGUAUUUAUUUGGCAUCAAAGUGAGUGAGAGAAAAAUGAUAAAAAGACAAAUUGGUAGUGAGUGAGUGUUUUGAUGGAGUUAAGGAUGAAGACGUGCAGGACUCAAAUUGAUGGAGUUUUGAGGGGAUUUGUCAUGUGACAUAAAUGUAAACACCACAUGGUACAAAAGAGAUAAGUAUAUUGUAUUUUUGGACAAAAUAAGAAAAAGAAGAUCAAUGCUCUCAUGUCAUGCCAUUACAGCUUAAAAACGGAAUUCAUAUCAUAAUGGAACAAUAAAUUAUCACAACCCUUCCUCAUUAACUAACAUUAUUUCACCAUUUUCAAAGUAGUUAAACUAUCUUUUUAUUUCAAUAAAACCAUUUAAGUUUAUUAAUUUUAAAUGAAAUAUAUAAAUUAUCAUCAAAUCAAAAUAUAUUUUAACAAAGAUAUUAGUCAAUGAUAUUUUUUUUUAUCAAUCAUGAUUCAGCUACUCUUUGCUAACAUUUUCAAAGACUUAUUUAUUUAUUUAUUUUUAUAAAAAAAAUUGAUUGACAUUAUCAAAAUUAUUUUUAACUAAUAUCGAUUAUAACUAUUUUGACCGAUAUUAGAUGGAAUUAUUUUUUCAACAUUACUGAUUAAAGUUUUUUUUGUCGACUUUUUAAUUAAUAUAAGUUUAAAAACUUUUUCAACUGAGUGAAAAGUAUUAUAGUUAAGAUUGGUGAAAGUUUCCCGUCGCGUUAGAAUUUUUUUUCUUGAACAAUUUUUUAUAAAAGCAUAGUAACAUUGAUGUCACUUACAAAAAUCUUAAUAAAACCAACAAAUAACAUGGAUAGAUGACAACAAUAGAAAUAACUUUGAUUAACAUUGUAAAAAAAAUAGUUUCAUCCACAUUGAUCUAAAAAACUUGACUAAUGUCAACCAAAAAAGAAUUCUACAAGAAAAAUAACUAUAAGAAUGUAGCUUAGUGGGAUGGAAUUUGAUUGAAAAGCACAAGAACAAGAAACAAAAUAUAUCAGAUUAAAAGUGCUAGUAUAUUAUUAGCCCAUAUGCCAUUUUCUUUUUAACUUCGAUUUUUUUUUAUUGUACGCCAUGCCAUUGGUCAUGUAUAGAUUUUGUUACGUGUCAUACUCAACACUGAUAUGUUGGAGGUUGCACUGGCACAAAUAAUUUGUUCUGAACUCACUUAAACAAACUAAACCCAUCGUAUUUACAUUAUGAGACGCUUUCCUAGUAAAUAAAAUUAAUUUUUGAGAAACUGUUUGAAUAUUGUUGUCAUCCUUCUUAUUAACAAUACGAAAAACAUGGGAAAGAUUGGUGUGAAUUCUGAACACCAGCACUAAAGUGAUGUGCUAAGAUGUUUUAGGUAAAACGUUUGAAUUUUUGCAUUUGACAAUGAAUGAUGGAGUGUUGUCAUUAACACACACGCACGUAAACAGAAAGAGAAAGGGAAGAGAAGUUCAGAGGAGAGAGUCAUGAUUUGCACAGUGAGGUUGGGAGUAGGUAAAUGCAGAUAAGUUUGUUAACAUUUGUCUAUGUCAAAGUAUGCUGGUGCACGUGUGUCCAAAUAGAGAGAUAGAGAAUUCAGGAUUUUCUUUGGUAACCGUACCACCCCACAUUUUAAAACUAAAAUAUGCUAUUCAAUUCAAACAUUAACCGAAUCAAGCUCUUGGUCUUGGUCUUGGUCUCAGUAUUAGCUGGACUAUACUGAUCCAAACCAGAAAGGCAAGAUCAACAAGAUACGCUACACAAUCAUUAUGUUCAGAUCUUAAUCCAACAGUCUCAUACUAUUAUGAUUUUCAAUCCAAGCUCAAACAAAAUAAUCAUGUUCAUGCUAAUGCAAAUGCUAAUACCAGCCACAACCCUUUAGUGUCUAAAGACAAAACCAGCCUAAUUACACUUUAACAUAUGUUUCAAUACAUGUUUUUCGAUAAAAUCUAUACAGAGAGACAAUAGCAUCAACCCCAUCCGAAGCUCUUCUUGUUCCUAUUCCUUUAAGCUCAAAAGUGGGGUUAAUGUCACUUUUCAUUGUAAUAGGUCCUUUAUUUAAUAACUUAGUAAUUCCACAAACCAUCAAGAUCCAAUGGAGCAACAGAAACAGAAACAGAAACAGAUGGAUGAUUGUGAUUGUCAAAGUGCCUCCUACCCAUAUCAAAAUUUGAAGAGGUUUCAGGGUUGAUAUCAGUAGUAAGACCCGUUUCCUGUGAAACACUGAUCAUGUCCCUCUCUGACUUGUAAUCAUUACCAUUGUUUUCACACAUGGCUCUCAGAAUGGUGUGGUCCUGCAGAGUGUAAACAGAACCGGGAAAUGUCAAAUUAGGCACAGCUUGAACAGCUUGAGUGGAGUAGAACGAGGCAGAAGGUGGCAUUCUGGGAAGAAAGUCCAAGGGAUUUGAAGAAACCCCAUAAAUAGAGUUGUUGAGGGAAUCAAAGACCCCUUCUUGGUUUCUUUGAACAUCAAUUGGAUUGGAGAAGCAGGGCACGUAAGCCGAUUCAUUCAGCGGUUUAGUGUUGCCAAUAGAAGGUGAAGAAUCCGAAAGGGGUGGCAGAGCAGAUGAACCCAAUUCAUUGGCAAAAGAGUCCAACCUCAUUAUCCCCGAAAUAUGAGUUUUCUUCCCCGCAGAACUUUUCUGAAACACCCUGCAGAUCACCCACUCGUUCUGCCACAGAACAACCAUCACAAUCAUAAAGAAACCAUAACAAAUCGAAAGAGAACAAUCAAAAGAAUAAUAAUAAAAAAAGAAUAACAGUAGAAUACCUUUGCAGUUUUGGGGAGGUUGUGAACAGAGAAUUUCCCCUCGAGUCUGUACUCGUGCAUGACCCAGUUGCUUUUCUCUCCUUUGGGUGCUCGACCUCGGUAGAAAACGAGAGUCUUUUUCAUUCCGACCAAAGAUUUUCCUCUGAAAAUCUCUUUGUCUUUCCCCGUGGCUUUCCAGUAACCGGCUUCAGUGGCCCUGUUGGUUCUCAAGCCAGUGGGGUAUUUUCUGUCUCUGACACAGAAAAAGUACCACUCCUUCUCUCCCAUUUUGGCUUUCCCUACAGAAGGUCCAAGUUUGAAUUUGAAAGAAAAGAGCAGAAUAGAUAAAAGCGAAGUAGAUUGGAUUGUUUAGACUCACAUGGCAAAUCCCAAGGCUCAGACUUGUUGAGGUCGACUUCUCCAAUGGCCCUAGCGCAGAAGUUGGUGUCAAUGACCUUCUUGUAGAGGUAAUGGGUUAUAAGCUCUUCAUCAGUGGGGUGGAAGCGAAAUCCCGGAGGCAAAUCCAUGUGAUGGUCUUCCUUAGAAAGCAGCGAAAGCUUUUCCAUGUGAAGAAAAAGAAAGGAAGUUGAUGGGAUUCAGAAGAGAAAGGGAAGGUGGAGAAGUUGAAGAUGGAGAUAUGAAUGAGAGGGGAAAGGAAAGAUAGGAAAACAAGGUCAUAAAUACUGCUGUUUGGGGGAGGGAGGAAGAAACGUGGAAUGUAAGGUAACCUCCUUUGGUUGUUUAUAGCCUAAGCCCACUUCUCUCUUCCAACUUUUCUCACAUAACAAAUUCUUCUCACUCAUCACCCUCCUUCCUUAAAUUCCAUGCAUCAUCAUGCUAAGGUAGUUACUAGUUACCUACUUUUUCUUAUCUUUACUCUCUCUACUUUAUCUACAUCUCCACUGCAUAUUCACCAAACACUCAAAUCUCACUGCCUCAUCAGACUCAAACCAUCUUCAAUUUUCUUCUCAUAAUUAAAUGCUUUUCAUAAACUACAAAACUCUACUUUUUUUUUAAUUCUAAAUUUAAUUACAGAACUACACUUAUGUAAUGCACAUAAAUGUUCUUCUAAAUUCAAUACUAUAUUAAUAUCAUCAAUAUAUUUUAACUUUUAAUUCAAUGAUCAUCACCCUCAAAUUUUUCAUUAAAUGCGAAUGUAUAUAUAUUACUGAAAUUUUAAUUAUAGAAUAACAACACAACCAACAUUUUUAUUUUGUUAUAAAUCGUUAAAGGGGCCAAAAAGAAUUCACAGACACAAGAGGAAAGAACGAUUGGAAUGAGCCAGAGUAGAUGAUGUAUGUUUUUCCACCAAGAACUUGAGACUUUCUCACAGUUCUUUUAAAAAAAAGAUUCUGUAAUUUUUUUUGAAAAAAAAAGAAAAAACUCGUUUUGUAUACAUACAUAUAUAUAAAAUAUAAUAAAAAGAAGAGUAUUUGUGAAGCUAUAAUAUUCCCAGCUGUAUUAAUGCAAUCAAUAAUAGAUCAUACCAGCUCGUUCUGCAUAUUCCUUUUGAAAAUCAGUAACAUCACUUUUUUGUAAUGAAAUUACAAAUAUGGUCUUCAAGAUUUAUUGGGAACAAACAAUAAACAAUAAGAUAAAUAGUUUCCGAGGUAGACAUGAUUUUUAAGAAUUAAAAAAAGAAAUCCAUAAUUAAGAAGCCACUUUUUGUUUAAGUUGAAUCUUAUGUUAUGCGUACAAUGUUGAACUUGAAAAAUUAGUAAUACACAACCUUAAAUUAAGAGACAUAUAAACUGUGGGAAAGACAAACGAAAAAGCUGUACUUGAAUCUUGGAUCAACAACAAACUAGUGUCGUUAUAACGCCGUCUUUGGCCAAAUCAGAAACAAUCAUAUAUAUAUUACAUGGAACUCACACAACUCCACCAAACCUUAUUCUUUUCGAAUUCAUUGUAUGAUGCUUAUAAUAAUAUUGUAUUUUAUUCAUUGUUAAGUUUAAUGUAAAUUUCAAUUUUCAUAAUCUAUCAUACAUGAUUAAUGAAGAAUAAAUACUUGGUAAUUUUAAGUGUUAUUAUCAACAAUUAUGUGUUGAAAAAGUAUCAAUGUAACUUUUCUAUUAAAUAAUAACACUAUCAACAUUAAUUAUAUUAUUAGAAUGUCUUGAAGUAGUAUAUAAAAAAUAGUAUUACAUAAAAAAUAAAAUUUUAAUUAGAAUGUCUUGAAGUCUAUAUGUAACUAGAAUGUCGUGUAAGAUAACAUUGUUUAUUUUUACAAUCAUUAUUUAAAUUAAUAUUAAUUUAAUGUAAUAUUUACAUUAACAGUGCAUGAAAACCAAACUUUAUAUAUGAAAAUAAAAUGUUAAUGAAAGAGUGUAUUUGCGUUAGGGUUGAGAUUUGUUUCAUUAGCAGAAAGAAUAAGAAUAGAAUAAAUUAAAAUAUUUCAUAAUUACGAGUGUGCUUGUUUUACAAAAUAAAAAUAUAUUUUUGUAAAUGUAAAUUUAGAAAUGUAAUAUUUUCAUUUUUCAUUUUUGUUACAAGCUUUGGAAAAUUAUUUUUCAAUUUUAGGAGAGCGGGCAUAACAUGAUUUAUUUUACUUCUAUUCCCGAAAUGAUGGGUGAGAAAAUUAUAUUAUAAAAUUAUUUUCUAAUUCACAUUAUUUUUAUUGUAAUUCUUAUUAAUUAUCUUUUACUAAAUAAAUUUAAUAAUUCAAACUUACAUUUUAAUAUGCCAGUUUAGGGCUUUUAGAACACAUGAAGAACAAACCAAAGUGUAUUGUUUGUCAUUGGAAAAGGUGUUAUUUCCGCAAUGAAUUAAUGUGCAAAUGUUUUAAGAAAAAAAAAAUAGAGAGAAAGUGAUGAAAGUAAAAGGUAAUAUAUAAUGAAAGAAAGAAGAAUAUAUAAAAAGGGUUAAAUAAGAUAUUUUUUGUCUAUGUAAUUUCACGGAAAAAUAGUUUUUUUUUAUAUCUAACUCAAAUAUAUUAAAAUGAGUAUUUGAUAAUAAUUAAAAAGAACAUUUUAAUUACUAAUAUAUUUUGACGAUGAUUUAAAUUUAAACGUAUUUCUAUACUAACAAAUAUUUUAUGAUCAUAUCGCAAUAUACUUAAUAGAAAUGAGUCGAAGUAACUUGUAAUCGUAUAUAUACAAUGAAUGUUAGGAUGUGAGAUAUUAUUGACUUGGGUGGUUGCAAAAUGAUGGACAUAUUUGUUGGUCUUUCAUAAGCAAAUUUGUCUAAUAUGUGAGGCAAAUAUAUGCAUAACCACUUUAACAACUUUUCAUAUUACAAAAUUACCAUUUUAUUUUCUUGAUUACAUUUUAACAAUGUGAAAGUCAGGUAACAUGGGAUGAAUUAUGUAGGAGAUUUUAUUAGUUCAUAAAAAAAAUGUAAAAUGUAUUAAAAAAAAUAGCUUGUUAAAAUGAUACCGUUUAAAUAGAAAUCAAUAUUAGAGAUACAAAAUAAUUAGUUAUUAUAUUAAUUAAAUUAUAUAUUAUUUUACAGACUAAAAAAUUAUUGGUAUCUAAAAUAUUUUAUAAAUUUAUAAACUAUCUAAUUAGUUACCAAUAACUCAUUAAAUAGAAACUAAUUUAUAAAUUUUAUUAAUAAUGAAAAUAACAGUAGAUACAAAUAAUUUUUUUAGUCUCCAAAAUAGUAUCUAAUUUAUUCAAUAUAGUGAUUAAUUAUUAUUUUUAUUUUUAAAAUUAGUUUCUAUCUAAUAAUUUUUUAAAAUUAAGUAUGGUUUGAACUAUCUUAUAUAAUUUGUAAUCCUUGCGAAUGAUAGGUGACACAAGAUAAGUUAGCUUACUAACCUAUAUAACUCACGCUACACCACACACAUGCAUAAAUUCCUUUCUCAUUAAACUAUACAUAUAGAUUCCUUCCUCCUUCUCCUCGCGAGUUCAUUUCUUUCUAUCUUUAAGCAUGACUCUUUUUUUCUUCUCCUAUUCAUAUAUGACAACUUUUCAAAGGUUUCACUUUUGUUAUGAAUUUUGGAUUAGCAAUUUAAGGUGAGAACCCUAAGAAGAUUCUUACUGGACACGAACUUAACCAAUUGGUUAAGUGUGAAGGUUCACUUCAAAAGGGCAAAGAGAAAAGGACAAAUAAUUAUAAGGUGAAGAUGAUGCAAUGGGGCAGAAAUUAAGAUAACAAGACAAAGAGAACCAACUAUUAAAAGAUAAACAUGAAUGUAUAUAGAGGAAGGGAAUGGAAGGCACAAAAAGAAAAUAAAAAGAGGAAGGGGAAUGGAAGAGAGCUUAGAGCUCUCAUUUUUAUAUCUGGUUCUUCCUCUGCUAAUGCUCUCUCGAGGUUAAUCAAUCUGUUCCAACCUCAGGUCUGUUGGACAGCAUCACUAGGAUCAAUCACCACAUCCGAUGUAUUGUUCGCUUUGAAGAUCGGUGCUCCGUCACAGUUUUGUCCUGAAAAAGCGUCUCGGGGGUUGAGAGAGGAGAGAGUAUAUAAACUGUCCUUGAUCUUGACUCCUGAACGAUGUGAGACUAUAUUGGCAUACCGGAACACAAUCAAAUGGAUUUUGAUUUUUUUUUAGAGCAAAUGGAUGAGCUACAAUAUUAAAAGAAUGAUUUUCAACAUUUUUAUUUCUUUCUUUAAUGACAAGAAAUUUAUUGAAUAUGCCAAUUAAUAUAGGUGUGUCUCUCUCAAUAUUUAACAUUAGUUCUCAGAUUCUUAAAUGCGAAAGAUAUUUUAUUUACUUCUGGUAGGAGCACAAGUUAUUUUAGAGUAAUUCAAUUAAUUUAAUUGAGACUGUUUUAUUAUAAUAUUUUUAAUUGAUUAUCAUAAUUCAAAAUGUAUGUAGAAGUGAAAUAGGAGAGUUCUUCUACGAUCCCAGUCAAUGUUAAUCAAAGAUAAUAAUGAUUAAUUUAAAUUUUGUUGUGUUAUUUGAUAAUUUUUUGAGAUUUUGUUAAGAAUUCAUGUUAUGUAAUGUGUGUUAUUUAAAUAUUAAGUGUGAAAAAUAUAUUAAUGCAUGUUGUGUUAUUUAAUUAUUGUGUAUUUUCUUAGGUUUAAAGACAUUUUUUAAAGAAGUGCAGACCAGCUAGUAAAAAUAAAUACAAGAUGGAUAAUAAAAGUGUUUGCAAGUUUUACAUUAACCAUUUGUCUUGACUCAUUUAUGAUUGUCCAUAUAUACAUAUGGGAUAAAAAUAAAAUAACCAAUCCAGAUUAUCAUCCCAAUCAAAAUAAAACAGAACUAUAUCUCACAAAAACUACUCACACUAUGAAAUUUUUAAUUUUUUUUAUAAAAUAAAAUAUUUAUUAGGCUAUGUUUAGCAAAAAAAAACCGCUAGCUUAAAAUCUAGUAUAAAUAUGAAAAAUUAACUAGUAACUAAGUAGUUGUUAGUUCAAAACAAACUUUUUUAAAUUACAAGUGGUUAAUAAAAUUAUCAAUUCAAAUAUAUAAAAUUAGACAUAUUUAUAUAAUGCUUUUAUAUAAAUUUUAAGUUUAUUAUAUUGAUAAAGCGUAUUUUAAUUAUAUUUCUAUUUUUUUAUUUUUAAUUAACUUCAAACCUUUAUAAUCUUUAAUUUAUACAUAAGUUUUCUAAUACAUUUAUUUUGCUUAUUGUCGUUUUAUAAUUUUUCAUAUGUUGUAUUUAUUAUCAUUGAUAUAGUUAUGAAAUAGUAAAAUAAAUAUUUUAAAGGAUUAAUUACAUAUUUUGUUACUAAAAAAUUAUAUUCAUGCAAAUUUUAUUAUUGAAUUUUAAAUUUUGUAAAAUUUAUUGUAUGAAUUUUAAAAGUAUACAAAUUUUAUAUUUUCAUUUUGAGAUGUACACAGCCCCUUUCCCGUACAAAGACACAUUAAUUAGGUUUAUUGUACUGAUCAUACUAAUAUUCUAAAGAGUGAAGGACAUAACAAGAUAGUAAAAGAAAAAACAAUUGAAAAUAAAAAAUGUCAAAUUUAUAUUUAAGACUUAGUGAUAAUAUAUAACUUAAAGUAAUACUACAAAACUAUCACAAAAGUCUGAACAAUAGAGUUUUAUGAUUCCACAAUAACUCAAUCACUAAAUGUCAACAUUUUAGUUAUUAAAUAUCAUAAAAUUAGUUUGUGAUUCAAUGAUGUUUACCACUUUGUCACUAAUUAACUAUAAGAAUAAAUAUUAAAUUGAAAAAAAUGAUGAUUAUACAAAAGAACAUAUUUCAGUUGAAAAAUUAUAAUUUGACAAGGUUUAGCCACCAUGUUUAUUUAUUAUUAAAACAGUCGUUGAUUUAUUACACGCUACUAAAAACUUGUCUAUUGUAAAGCAACCAAGAUUAAUAUUAUUUUUUUUUUUAAAUAAAAGCUUUCAUGUUAGGUAUCACUAUGCCACUUAAGAUCUCAGCUAGACUAACACCUCAAGUAACAACAAUCAUUUACCAUCACAUGAAAAAAAAAUAUUAUUAAACAAAAGAAAAAAGAAAAGAAAAAAAAAUACAAAAAUACGGGGGGACUAGACCAAAAUCCAUAUGUUAACAAAAACGAUACAUAGGUAGACUAUACCUAUUCAUAAAGAAUUCUAAGAACAGACAAGGUGGAAGCCUAUUAUACCAAAGAAAAGGUUCUCUAUGAAAAAAUCCUAAAUUAGCCAACUUAUCAGCACACGCAUUUCCUUCACGAAAAAUAUGAGUAACUGUAAACCUAAUUUUCCCACAGUAAUUAAGACAAGCAUUCCANNNNNNNNNNNNNNNNNNNNNNNNNNNNNNNNNNNNNNNNNNNNNNNNNNNNNNNNNNNNNNNNNNNNNNNNNNNNNNNNNNNNNNNNNNNNNNNNNNNNNNNNNNNNNNNNNNNNNNNNNNNNNNNNNNNNNNNNNNNNNNNNNNNNNNNNNNNNNNNNNNNNNNNNNNNNNNNNNNNNNNNNNNNNNNNNNNNNNNNNNNNNNNNNNNNNNNNNNNNNNNNNNNNNNNNNNNNNNNNNNNNNNNNNNNNNNNNNNNNNNNNNNNNNNNNNNNNNNNNNNNNNNNNNNNNNNNNNNNNNNNNNNNNNNNNNNNNNNNNNNNNNNNNNNNNNNNNNNNNNNNNNNNNNNNNNNNNNNNNNNNNNNNNNNNNNNNNNNNNNNNNNNNNNNNNNNNNNNNNNNNNNNNNNNNNNNNNNNNNNNNNNNNNNNNNNNNNNNNNNNNNNNNNNNNNNNNNNNNNNNNNNNNNNNNNNNNNNNNNNNNNNNNNNNNNNNNNNNNNNNNNNNNNNNNNNNNNNNNNNNNNNNNNNNNNNNNNNNNNNNNNNNNNNNNNNNNNNNNNNNNNNNNNNNNNNNNNNNNNNNNNNNNNNNNNNNNNNNNNNNNNNNNNNNNNNNNNNNNNNNNNNNNNNNNNNNNNNNNNNNNNNNNNNNNNNNNNNNNNNNNNNNNNNNNNNNNNNNNNNNNNNNNNNNNNNNNNNNNNNNNNNNNNNNNNNNNNNNNNNNNNNNNNNNNNNNNNNNNNNNNNNNNNNNNNNNNNNNNNNNNNNNNNNNNNNNNNNNNNNNNNNNNNNNNNNNNNNNNNNNNNNNNNNNNNNNNNNNNNNNNNNNNNNNNNNNNNNNNNNNNNNNNNNNNNNNNNNNNNNNNNNNNNNNNNNNNNNNNNNNNNNNNNNNNNNNNNNNNNNNNNNNNNNNNNNNNNNNNNNNNNNNNNNNNNNNNNNNNNNNNNNNNNNNNNNNNNNNNNNNNNNNNNNNNNNNNNNNNNNNNNNNNNNNNNNNNNNNNNNNNNNNNNNNNNNNNNNNNNNNNNNNNNNNNNNNNNNNNNNNNNNNNNNNNNNNNNNNNNNNNNNNNNNNNNNNNNNNNNNNNNNNNNNNNNNNNNNNNNNNNNNNNNNNNNNNNNNNNNNNNNNNNNNNNNNNNNNNNNNNNNNNNNNNNNNNNNNNNNNNNNNNNNNNNNNNNNNNNNNNNNNNNNNNNNNNNNNNNNNNNNNNNNNNNNNNNNNNNNNNNNNNNNNNNNNNNNNNNNNNNNNNNNNNNNNNNNNNNNNNNNNNNNNNNNNNNNNNNNNNNNNNNNNNNNNNNNNNNNNNNNNNNNNNNNNNNNNNNNNNNNNNNNNNNNNNNNNNNNNNNNNNNNNNNNNNNNNNNNNNNNNNNNNNNNNNNNNNNNNNNNNNNNNNNNNNNNNNNNNNNNNNNNNNNNNNNNNNNNNNNNNNNNNNNNNNNNNNNNNNNNNNNNNNNNNNNNNNNNNNNNNNNNNNNNNNNNNNNNNNNNNNNNNNNNNNNNNNNNNNNNNNNNNNNNNNNNNNNNNNNNNNNNNNNNNNNNNNNNNNNNNNNNNNNNNNNNNNNNNNNNNNNNNNNNNNNNNNNNNNNNNNNAAGGUUGAAGAAAACGACCCCUUGGAGCACCAACAAAGAUAGGCACUCCUAAAUAAGUGAAAGGCAAACAACCAUGACUACAAGAAAGAAUACGCUGAAUUUUGGUGACAAAUCUUGUAGAAUUAUCCAUGGUGAAAAAACUACUCUUAGAAUUAUUAACAUAUUGACCAGAGAAAUCACCAUAUGUUUUUAGAAAAUUUCUCAAAUUUCUAAGAGACUUAGUAUCCGCCCUACAGAAAAUAAAAAUGUCAUCCGCAUAUAAAAUAUGAGAGGGAGUGAGAAAACCUUGUGGACUAGCCAUAUGUAGAAUCUUCUUAUCAUUCACAAACUUUGAGAGACCUCUACUAAGAACUUCCUCUGCAAGACAAAAAAGUAUAGGAGACAAAGGAUCACCUUGUCUAACACCUCUACUACNNNNNNNNNNNNNNNNNNNNNNNNNNNNNNNNNNNNNNNNNNNNNNNNNNNNNNNNNNNNNNNNNNNNNNNNNNNNNNNNNNNNNNNNNNNNNNNNNNNNUAACCCACCAAACUACCAUUUAUUCUGAUAGAAAGCAUAGCUGAACGGAUAAUAGUACUAAUCCAACCGACAAACGAGGGGUGAAAACCAAAGCGUGACAAAACUGAUAGUAAAAAUUUCCAACUUAGAGUGUCAAAAGCUUUGUGAAUAUCAACUUUGUAAGCCACGUUGCCUCCGUGAACCUUUUUAGAAAGCAAGUUAAUAGCUUCAGAAGCAAUACUAAUACAAUCUUGAAUCUGUCUGCCCUGCACAAACCCAUACUGAUUAGGAGAAAUAAUUCUGGCAGCCACAAGAGCAAGCCGAUCUGCCAAAAUCUUGGAAAUAAUCUUAAAUUUAAAAUUAGCAACAGCAAUCGGCCUGUAAUCUUUAAUAGAUUCAGCACCCUGAAUCUUAGGAAUAAGAGAUACCACAUUACUGUUCGUUCCAGGGAGAACCCAGUUUUGUUUAAAAAACUGUUGGACUGCAUUACAAACAUCUGUCCCAAUAAUAUCUCAACAAGAAUGAUAAAAAACACCACCAAAGCCAUCAGGACCUGGAGCACUAUUACCAUUAAGGUUAAAAACAGCAUUCUUGAUCUCCAAAAAAUCAGGACAUUUAAGCAACAUCAUAUUCUCCUCAGAGGAAACCAGCUCAGGAAUAUAAGUACCAAUAAAAUNNNNNNNNNNNNNNNNNNNNNNNNNNNNNNNNNNNNNNNNNNNNNNNNNNNNNNNNNNNNNNNNNNNNNNNNNNNNNNNNNNNNNNNNNNNNNNNNNNNNNNNNNNNNNNNNNNNNNNNNNNNNNNNNNNNNNNNNNNNNNNNNNNNNNNNNNNNNNNNNNNNNNNNNNNNNNNNNNNNNNNNNNNNNNNNNNNNNNNNNNNNNNNNNNNNNNNNNNNNNNNNNNNNNNNNNNNNNNNNNNNNNNNNNNNNNNNNNNNNNNNNNNNNNNNNNNNNNNNNNNNNNNNNNNNNNNNNNNNNNNNNNNNNNNNNNNNNNNNNNNNNNNNNNNNNNNNNNNNNNNNNNNNNNNNNNNNNNNNNNNNNNNNNNNNNNNNNNNNNNNNNNNNNNNNNNNNNNNNNNNNNNNNNNNNNNNNNNNNNNNNNNNNNNNNNNNNNNNUGAUGUAAAAUAAACAUAGGACAACCAACAACCUUAUUAGCCCAAGAAUCAUGAAUAAGCUUCAUACAGGAAGCGUCUUGAAGCCACAUAGAAAAGAAACGAAAAUUGCUAACCUUCUUCAAAGAAUUACUAGCAAGACUAGUAAGAAUAGGGGAAUGAUCAGAACAAUUUUUAACAAGAACCUGAUAAGUACAAGAAUCCCAUUCAUCCAAACACACUUCGUUACAUAACGCCCUAUCCAAUUUUCUAUGAAUUCUAUGGAGCCCUCUCCUUCCAUUACACCAAGUAUAGCAAGUACCGGUAAAAGGCAUACAAGAAAGAUCAUUAGUAUUAAUCCAAUCAAGGAAUUCAUUGCAAGAAACUUGAUUAGGAGCCACCCCUCCUUUACAGUCAUCGACUGAGAGCACAACAUUAAAAUCACCCAUAAUACACCAAGACCCUAUGAAGGAACUAAGAUCCCUCCACAAAACCCGUCUAGCCACGUAUGUGGUAGCACCAUAAACACCUGCAAAACUAAAACAUUUAUCAUGCAAAUGACAAGUUACAGAAAUAAAUUGUUCAUUUACCAAGAAAUUUCGAACCAAAUUAGGAACCGACAAACACCAAAGCUUAGCAGCUUUAUUAACAAUAGGAGACGUAGCCACCAAAUGCAUAUUAACAGAUUUGAAAAUGACUUCAAAAACAUCAGUGUACGGCACCAUAGGUUCAGCAAGAAAAACCAGAAGAGGUUUGUGUAGUUUGAGUAAACUAAUCAACAUCUCCACAGUUUUGUGGUUUUCCAAUCCUCUAACAUUCCAGAAAAAUGAAGAGACUUUCAUAAUAUUAUUUAAUUACUAAGUUUAGUUACUAAUCUAAAACCAUAGUCAACAUUCAUACCUUACCCACAUUGCAAGUAAAAAAGAACAAGGUAUAUGAGUGUUUGAAUUUUCUAAAUAAUAUAGUUAAGAGUGGAUUUAAAAUGAAGAAAAUGAUAUUUAAUUCAAAAAAAUGAAUAUAAGAUAAGAUCAUUAAGUGCAUAUAAUUUGUUUUAUUUAUAAGUUAUAAGUUUGUGUUUGAGGUGGUGAAGUGGGUGAUGUUUCUCCUGUUCCGACAUGAGGAAAUGAAAUAGAGGAGGACGUGGAAGAAUGGGAAUGGUCCAAAAUGAUGAUUAUAUAUAUGUUAUGAAGUUAGGCAAAUGUCAUUCAAAUGUGAUAGAUGAUUGUGUUACCUGCUUCUUCUUUCAAACCAUUCAACUAAUUAUUUGACUCUUUCAUUCCACUGCCUAACUUUUUUAGCUUUUAUGUAUGGGGUUAUUCAUUCACAGAAUCACCAAUUUCAAUAUAUAAAUUGCUAUAACAUUUAUUUUAACACCUCACAACUAUGUUUCUCCUUUAUUAAAAUAAAUUCUUCUAAUUUUUUAGGUUGUUCAAUUGUUAUAAGACUAAUUUUGGAAUAUUUAUAUUAAAAAGUUGAUUUUAAACUUAAAUUAAUCUUAUAAAAUUAGUUAAUAAGAUAAAGUUUGUAUAUAUUUUUUUCUCUUUUUUAAUAAUAUUAUUUUCAUACGAUGGUAAAUGAUUCUUGUUAUUUGAGGUGUCAGUCUAGUUGAGAUGUCAAGUUGCAUAGUGAUGCCUAACAUAAAAAAAUUUUAUAAAAAAAAAACUAAUGUGCAAUUCUAUUGAUUAAAUAUAUAACUAAUACUAUUUUAAUAUUCUCAUUCACAUAAAUUACUUAAUUAAGUCAUUGAAUAUGUUUCAUUAUUUUAGCUAAAAAAUUGUUUGGCUAUUAAACGAUAGGUGAAAGUAACAAGAUUUGACUGGUGUAAUGGUUAAAAUUUCUUUGAUCAUUUAAGGACUUAAGUCCCAGCUGUUACAGUUUGUUUCUAACAUUUAGUGUUAAUAGUCUCCCAUAUUUUUGUAUUUUCUUUAUUUAUUUUUUAGUAAUAUUUUUUUCAUGUGAUGACAUAUGAUUAUUGUUAAUUGAGUUGUGCCUAGUUGAGAUAUCAAAUUGCAAUAGUAAUGCCUAAUAUGAAAAUAUUUUUAUAUAAAAAAAAUCAGUGAAAGUUUUACCAUUGAAAAAAUAAAUAAGUAUCAAUUGUAUUUUAAUAAAAUUAAAAUUUUUUCUUAGGUCUAAAAAUAUAUAGACAGAAGCCUAGGACACACUUGUGGUUCAAAUUAAGGGGUUGUAGUUAGUUAUUAAGUGGUUUGUAUUCAUAAAAGAAAGCCAACAUAGCCACCUAAUUAGCCAUAAGAUGUGUCGAGACUUACCUGUUAAUAGCUGUAUUAAGAUAGCAUUAGAUACAAUGCAAAUUGGGAUGCCCAAAAACCUUUAAAAUUCUGUGUAAAGAAGAUAUUUGCACAAGAUUACUCUAAUUAAUUAAAUGUAUGAAAUUGUGAUAUUUUGAAAAUGUUUAUUUAUUAAAUAAUGAAAUAUUAUUCGGAAGAGAUGAACAAAUUGUGAAAAGUAUUUUUAGCUUGAAAGUUAGGUAACUUAAAUGUUUCUAAUUACAUCGUAAAAAUAAGAAAUUAUCCCUUCUCAAUUAAACCCAUCAUUAAUGUUAAGUUGAAUAAUAAUAAUAAAUUAUUAUUUAGUUCAAGAACAAUCUAAAUCCUUAUAAACAUUUGAAUGAGAGUAAAGAAAGUAGAAAACUAUAUUUAUUAAUAGAAAAGUAAUGUUAUAUAUAUUAUUCAUCAUUAGCAUAAAGUAGUGAUAGGGUCUUAAUAGUUAGUUUGUCUUUUGCUUCAUUUUAGAAGUGGAAAAAUUAACCAAAAAAUAAUGUGAGAAGAUUCAACACUUGCUCUAUCUAUAAAAAAGAAGGAAAGCAAAAAGCUAUCAACUUUUCUACUUAUUGCUUUGUUUUUUUUCGUAAUUUUACUUUAUAUGUGUCAAUGGAAAUGCCACAAUUUACAUUAGACGUGUGAGUUUGGUUUGAUUCAAAAUAAGUGAUUUAGAGAUACUAGUUUCAGAUGAUUUAUGGAUUUUUCACUCACGUGAUACUCAUAAAUAAAUUACAUAAAUACAAAAUCAUUUUAAAAAUUUAUCCAAAGAUAAUUUUGACUUUUCAAAAAAAUCACUUAACAAAGUUUUCACUUUUAUCAAAUUAAUUAAUUAUAUAUAAAUAUACACAAAAAAAAUCCCUCGUUUCUACUUUUUUUUAUUCACUGAUACACAUAACAUUGUUUUCUACUUUAUUUUUUUUUCUUCAAUUUGUUUUGCUCCUUAUUUUCCUUAAUCACGUCUAAACAUAAGCUAAAAGACGGGAAAAGUGAAAACCUAUAAAUAAGAUCGUACAAACCUCAGUAUCCACGACUUGAUUUUUUUUAUUAAAUAUUAUUUUAAUGAAACAAAAAAUGAGACGCACUUCGAUUUAUUUUAAUUUAUUCUAAAUUUAAAUAAAAUUAAACUAAUAUUUCAAUUUUAUUUGGAUCAAGUUUUGUUAGUAUAAAAUUAUUAAACAUUUUGUAUAAUAAAAAGAUAUAUGAUUAAAACAAACUUGUUGUGAUGUUUUAGCGAAUAUAAUUUCAAUAUAAUUAUAACAUAAUCAAAGAGUAAAACAAAUUUUCAAAGGUUUUUCAUAUUUGUCUAUAUUUCUUAGUUGCAAAUUAAAUCAAAAGAUAUAUUAUUACAGUUAAAUGGAAUUAUUAGUUUGAUUUCAUUUUUUAAAUUAAAAAUUGAACCAAUCAAUUGAAAAAAAAAUCUAAAUUUUUUUGAUGAAUAUUUUGUUACUUUUUUGAAUUGGUUCAAUUUUAAACCCUUAAUUAUGAGAAUACUUAACAAUUUUUUAUAUUCUAAAACAAUAUUUUUUUUCUAAAGCAAUUUUAUUUAUAAGUUAUCUUUUCAACAACACCCUUACAUAUCCAUUUAUGCAAAUAUAAUGAAGUUAUAAAAUUAUUAUUCUAUAAAUGCAAAUAUAAUGAAGUUAUAAAAUUAUUAUUCUAUAAGUGUAAUUCUUCUUUCUCCCAAAUAUCUCUCUAUUACUUUUUUUUUUUUUUAAGAUUUCGUCUACAUACCUCAUCUAUUUCAAAAUUUUAUCACUCCUUGCAUUAGUUGAGGAGUCAAUAAUAAUUUUUAUCCAAUUAUGUUUUCAAACCAUAUAAGUUUUUAUUUACUCUAACGAUCUUUUGUUAUCUGAUCUUCACUAUGUUUUUAUCAUCAAUUUUGAUGGGACCAAUUGAGAAAAAUGAUAAUCUCAACUUGUUCUACCACAUACUAAAAAUCUAUUAUGUUUGGAUAACUUGCUCUAGGUCCCUAUAACCUACUAGUUUUGGAAAUUUCAUUGAAAACAAACAAUCAGGUAAGGGAAGCCACUUGUAUGUUGAUUAAACUGGUUUUAAAUACAACUUGAAAAAAAAAAAUAGAUUUGAGUUGUUGAGAAUGUUAGAUUUCUGGUACAAGUUGGGGUUUUAGUUUGCAAAAUCUGUUAAAUUCGCUUAGUGCAAGUCUAAGCGCAUUAAGGUGCAAAUGUUGGGUAUUUUUGGCCCCAAAGUCGUUCAACGCUUUUCCCCUAUACUUAAGCAGAUUUUACAUGUAGAUUUAGGGGAGAUCUUGAUCUCAAAUCUGGUAAGCCUUUCCCUAUGCUAAGUGGAUCUGAUUUGUAGUUUUGGGGUGCUCCCGGCCUCAAAUGCACUUAGCAAAAUUUUCCCACGCUUAGCGGAAUUGAAUUGCAAUUUUUACAUGUUCUCUGUCUCAAAUUCGCUCAAUGCAAAUUCAAUGCGCCAAGCAAAAUUUCCCUGGACUUAAUCUGAGCUUUUUUGGCUCAAGCCAUCUUAACAAGAUUUGUCAUUUUGCUCAAGUACAUUUUUAUUUUUUUUACAUGAGUAAUAAAAGUGAAUUGAACCUUUGAAAAUUUUAUUAAUUUUAAAAAUUGUAAUUAAUUACAACUUUCUUUUGUUAAUACUUGUAAUUGAAAUGAAACCCAAUAAUUGUGAUUGAAAAUAGAUCCAUGUGUAGUAGAUAUGAUUGAAAUGAAAUUGAAUUAUUAUGAUUGAUAUUUGAAUUUUUGUAUGAUUAUGUUUGAGUGAGAAGAAAACUAAAUUAACUAUGAAUUCUUUUAAUUAUAUUUUUUAUGUUAAAACUUUAUUUCGAUUUUAUUUUUUCUUUUGUAAAUAGAUGUAUUAAUAUAUGUAUUGUGUGAAUUAUAAAGUUUAUAUAAGAUGUGAUGUUAUUUUUUCGGUGUUACAAUUAUAACACCCCAUUAUAACUAAAUAAUUAUUUUAUUAUAAUACCAUAUAUAUAAUUAUUAUCGAGUUUGGUAUUAUUCUUUCCAGCUUUAGUAAAGAAUGUAUUUCUUUUCUUUCAUUAAUGAAAAAUAUUUGAAUAGUUUUAAUUUUGUUAACGUUUCAUUCAUUUAUAUAUAUAUAUAUAUUUGAAACGUGUGUUUUUAUUAAAAUAUAUAAGUUUUAUUAAAUCUAAUACAUAUUCUAAUAUUUAGCUUUUUAAAAAGUAUUCAUAAAAUAUUGUUUAAAAGUGUAAACAAACCAAAUGGACUGAGGAAAAAAAAUAUUUUUUGUGUGAUUUAAUUUGAAGUUGGUUUGUAAGAUACAAUGAGAUUAUAACAAAAAAAUAAUUUUAACUUCAGACACAAACAUAUCUUAAGAAUAAAAUCAAUUAAAAUAAUAUAUCCAUGCGUAUCACGUGAGAAGUGAAGAUGUAAAUGCAACCAUUUGAAAACGUGUCAUUCUUUUUCAUUAAAAAAAUGUAGACAUGCCUUAGUGCGUAGGCAUAUAUACUUAAAUUUCACGUUCAACACUACUGGUUUAAGUUAAAAUGUUAUCCUCUUUUUGUAUUUAAAACUCGUUUUAAAAAAAUUUCUUCCUUUUUAUGGUUUUUUCAAUUUCAAAACAAUAUAUAUAUAUAUAUAUAUAUAUAUAUAAAUUAUACUUUUAUUUUAAUUUUAAUUAUGUGUUGAAAAUUAUUUAUAGAGAGAAAUUUUUAAAAAGUAUAAUAAAUGACUUAUUUAAAAUUACAUUAAUAAAUAGAAAAUUAAAAAAUUUAAUUAAUUGGAGUAAACAAAAUCUUAAACAAUUGUUAUACAUUGUGCUGGUAUGAACUGAACGAUCAAUACCAGACUCGACUUCUGCAGUCGGGCCGACCGAAUGAUACACGUCCGUGUAGACUGACCGAUACCCUUGGUCCAUUAACACUCAAUCAAGGUCGAUAAAGGUAAAUUAUCAUUAUGAAUUAGGUAAUACACCUUUAAGUAUGACUCACCUCACUAAUCUGACCCAAUAAGGUAAGCUCAUUAAAAUAAUAUAAAUAGUGCACAUUCCAAUAAGUAGGUACGUAAUUAAUUACUGUACUCUGACAUUCAGGUGUCGAACACCCUUUGCUGACUUAAGCGUUAGAGUGUCUUCUGCAAGUAUCCCGUUUGACAUUCCCUAGGAGAUUGAGUGAUCAAGCGACCAAGACCCAUAGGAGUAGCAAAAAGACUGAAAGAGCAAGUUGAAAUGUAGGUCAAUUGUCUGAUAAAAAGAUGAAAGACGAAGUCUCUUAAUAGUUUUCUAAGUCUCAUCUCCCGGUCAAAAAACAUAUAUAUACUAAAAAGUUAUUAAAUAAAAAUUAAUUUAAAAUAUACAAAAUAAUUAGUUACUAUCCUAACUAAUUAAAUAUCUUAUAGACUAAACAGAUAUUAAUAUUUAAAAUAAUUUAUAUUAUUAAUAAAUAAUUUAUAUUUUAAAUCUAAUUAACUACUCAAAAGUAAUUGGAACUCAUGUGCCCUUCACUUCUUCUUUCACUACGGUCAACAUUCACUUGCAACCACUCUCCUUCCCUUCCCCCGAUCCUCCAUCCACACCCACAUUCAACCUUUUCUUCAACAAUAUAUAAUCACACCAAAAACACAUAAUAAAAACCCUCAUUUCUCAAACAAAAUAAGGAGCUUUUUUCAUUUAUUUUUUAAUAUUUUGGCAAGAAUAGUAAAAAAAUGUUACUUCCUCAAUGCAAGAGAGAUUAAAUUAAGGUGGGAUUCCACAUUUAAAGGAAACACUUUUUAUUUUCAAUAACAAAAAGAAGAAGAAAAGUUGAAUGAGAGAAAAUGAAAAGGAAGAAGGAGGGUGGUGAAGGAGAUUGAGGGAAAAGUGAUAAAUGAUAAGUGAUAUGAUGAACGAUUAAUUUGAAAAUAAAAGAAAAAUCUUAAUCCACUUUUAAAAUAUAACGAAUGGAAUCAAAGUAUUUAAAAAUUAAGAAAAGAAAGUAGAUAUUAAAAGAUAAAAAGUAAAUAAAAAAUAGAAAAAAGAAUUAAUCUCUUGAAAAUGAUAUAAAAGAAAGGUGAAUUGAGAAAAAAGAGGGAAUAUUCGUAUUUGAUCCGAUUGACUAAAUGGCAUUGUGGAAUCUGUUUUGAGUGAGAGUUGUGGCGUAUCUUUGCUUCGCAGCCAUUAAAUAAUAUUUAUAUCACCAAUAAUAUCAUUCAUUAUAUGACUUUAAGCCAUCUAUAUGUGUACCUUUGGUGUUAUCGAAAUCAAGAGGACAAUAAUUUUAGUCACUAACACCAUAAAAAAAUAACACUCUAAUUGGAAUAUUUCAGGACAAAAAUACCAUAUAUAACGUGUAAUACAAAUAUGUAUAAUUUCUAUUCAUAUGCUCAUUUCUUUAUGUUUUUAAUAAAAUGACCAUAUUUAUGCACAAGUCUAAUAACUUUUUUUUAAGAAAUAAUUUCUAUUUGCUUAGUAAAUUAGUGAAGUUUUUAAAAUUUAUUAUUUCAUAAACACUUGUUAUAUUUAUUUAACUUGAUCCAUUCUUGUAUUCUCCGUCAAUACAACUUGACGAUAUUUCAACAUUUGAAAAUGGAAUCAAACUAAAACUUUUCGCUAAAUUUAGAACUAUUCAAAAGUCAAUACGUAGUGAAUUAUACACAUAGUUUAUUGGAACAAGUAUUUCCAUAAAUAGUUUUAGAAGAAAAAAAAAGUUUGUCUACAUACUAAAAUUAGCUUAUAUUAUAAGUUAAAAAAAUAAAAUUUUAAAGAAACUAUAUAAAAGAACUUAUACUAAAAUAACUUAUGCAUGAGUUAAUUUAGUUUCUCUACAUAGUAGAACACUUUUUAUAAAAAUAAUUUAUCUAAAAAAAUCAAAAUUAGUAUUUAAAAAAUAAUUUAAUAAAAUACUUAUUUAAAUACGUUAAAAAAGUUGAACAAUGAAAUUUGUAAUAUAAUUAGAAUUAAAAGGUAAAAUAUUACUUUACACAAAACCAAGUGACACUAAAACUGGAUAAAUUUAAACAUUUAUCCUCUAAUUAAUGCAAAUUCGGGUUGGUGUUGGAGAAUCAAUGACAAUUUCCUUGCAUCAUAUAUGUGGAGUUUUAAAUUUUUUGAGAUUUUUCGUGAUUUGUUUCUAUAAUGGGAGAGGAGGAUCUAUGUGCUGUGUUUAUUCCCCCACAAAGUUCCCAGAUAAUGGGGAUUUAUAAUGCAAUCUUAUUUUUAUAUAUGUCUUUGUGUAUUGUGGUUUUGAUUUAGUGUUCUAAAGUCAUUUUUUAAGAGAUCAAAUAACUUGAACAUGUUCAUUGCAUUUUGGCCUAAACCAUAAAAGUAAAAACACAUUGGAUUUAAAAAAAGUAUAUUAAUUUAUUUUUUCUGUAAAGAAAAAGUUGGAUGCUAGGUUAUUGGUUUUGAUGAAGCAGCUUACAUAAACUUGCAAUUAACCAAUGGUGUGACGAAAUGAAGAGUGUUAGGUGUUGAAAAUAAGAAUGAGUCCAAAAUGAAUCAUGGCAGAAAAGUUCCCAAGAUAAAAACAAAGAUAAAUCACACUUGAUUUGAACAGCGAAGCAGAUCACUGAAAUGGGAAAUGAAAUUUGCUUCUCCUUUGUCAUUUUCACCACAAAGUAGGAUCUGCCAAUUAAAUUGAUUGGUUCAUAGGCUUGGUGGGUUAGGCAAACUUAUUAACAUUCUACUUUUAUAAUUUGUUCAACACCUAUAUUAGUUUACAUGCACUAAAGUAAAAUGUAUGCAGAAGGUGCCACAACUUAUGUUCACUGCUCGUAGUCAUCUGAACCAAUUUUUUUAUGUUUUUGCACUGUAACUUUUGGAUCACUCAUGCAAACUUAAGUGUUAAACAAAGCCUAAAUUAUUUAUGGUUAGAUGAUUAUAAACUUGUGCCAGCUUUUUGAGGUGCUGGUUUUAGAUAACUUGGAGAUUAAAGGCAACAUUCCCUAAUAAUUGGUAAAGGUAGGGAACUUGUGAGAGUUGCAAAGAAGAAAGGGACUAGCACCGAAUGGAAUUGCAUAGAAACCACUAAUGUUGGGAUUUUAAUAUAGAGAUUGGUGCCAAUUCAUUGGUUAAGUUUUUAUGUUUUGCCAUUUCUUGAAAUUUUGGGUGGAAAGAGUACAUGGUCCAACAUUGAACAACACGGUUUAUAAUUGAAGGAGUCUCUGAAUAGUGUCGGAUAAUGUUUGAAAAGUAGAAACUAAAAAGAUAAUAUAGUUUGUUUAGGACACUGUCAUUGCAUAUAAAGAGUGUAGUGUAUGAUUCUUAACACCUACUAUUAGCCUGAAAAUUGUUGUCAUAAAUAAGUUGCAUUCUUGUUCAAUGUAAAUUAAUUACAAUAAAACUGCACCUUAGCUCACUUAAACAAGAAGUUAUUAUUUAGAUUUAAGGAUACUUAUUUAUCCUUAAUUUAUACUUGUACAAGUUUUCAAUUUUAAACAUUUUUUUAGAUGUGAUUUUUUUUAAGCACUGUCCCAUAACUCGCGGGUUUAACCCAGAUUAUCCACCCCUAAAUUCAAGUAAAUUAUAAUUAAAAAAUCUUUUUAAAGUUUAAAUUAAAACAUUCAAUAUAUGCUAAAUCUCUUAGUUGCUUGCUACUACGAUGUAUUCUUCUGUAACUAGUCAAGUAUUCAAAGAGUGGAAAAUUGGAAAAACCAACUACACAUUGAGAUCAAAUAUCAUUAAUAAAAAAAUUGAUAUUGGUUUGUACUUUGUUACCUAAUGUCAUGUACACUACAUUUCUAUUUAGAUUUUUUAUUUUUAUUUUCUAUUUGGAUGUUAGUUGGAUUUAAAUUUAAUUUUUUUAGAGACCUGAAUGUGUGUUUAGCAAUGGGCACAAUUGUACUAAUAUUCUAUCUAUUGUAUAUCAUAAUAUAAAAACAGUCGCACACGUAAACUAGAUCAUACUAAAAAAAUAUUCAUAAAUCACUUUUCUUAACGUCCUUAUAAUUUAUAAAUAAAUACGAUAAACAAGAAUUUUCUGAACCUCGUUAUAAAUAAAUACGAUAAAAGAACAAGAAAAAGUGAUUAAUAAAAAAACUUAAAAAAAUUACUUUAGUGUUUAAGAAUAAUUUAUUUUGUAAUUUUUAUGACUUUUAUUAGAAAAUAAUAUAUGUAAAUAAUUUUACGCUUAAUUUUUUAUACACUUAAGUGAAAUAUUUUGGGAUAAAAAAAAAUGUGAUCAUUUCCGUUUGAAAAAAACCAAAGGAAAGUAGAAGCAAAUAUGAAUCAGAUUUUAAAAUUUUUAGAAAUUAAAAAAUGGCCCAUGCAGGUCUCGAACCUGCGACCUUCGCGUUAUUAGCACGACGCUCUAACCAGCUGAGCUAAUAGGCCACAUGUUAAUGUAUUAACAAGUUUAAAUAUAAAUAUAAUCAUUUUUCAACAUAAAUAUUAACAAGUUUCAAUAUAAAUAUUAACAAGUUGAGGAAUAUUUAAUUUCAGUGUGAAGGAAAAUAGGUUCAGAAUUUUUUGGUAUUGGGCUUAACUAUUCCAUGAAUUCAUUCACAUUUAUUUCUACAAUUCAAUAAAAAUCAAUUUCACUGUUUCAACACCUGUUGCAAUUUUGUAUAGUGUCAAUUCCUGAUAAAAAUUUGAACAACUGAACUUUUAAAUAAUUUCAUCAUUUAUUAUUAUUAUUAAUUCUUAUGCUGCACUGUUUACUAAUUAGUCUACUUAUUUUUAUGUUUCAAAAUACAAAAAGUAUAAUUCAUGUUAGUAGAGGUGAAAGUUCUCUCUUAUUUAAUUAAUCACUAUUGAAGUUAUUACUAUGUCUGACCAAUGCUAAAGUUAAAAAAAAAAAAAAAACUAUUCCCAUAUUUUCAUCAACACAUAGAUUUCAAGUUUAGCUCAAUUAGUGUUUUGAAAAAGAUAAAAGAUUAAUAAAAUAAUGGCGUGUUAUACGUAAAUAAUAUAUUUUUUAAUAUUUUAACUCUUGAUAGAAAAAAGUUUAUCGAUGUAAAGGAUUAAUUUCACAUGAAACUAAAUUUCUAAAUGUACAUUUAGAAAAUAGAGUUAAAAUAAAUUAGUGAUCAAUUAAAUUAUGUUUUAGAUUUACCGUGCUUGUUUUUAAAAUUGAUAAAAUUUAUUACCACGACAAAAUUUAAGUGUAGGCUAGUUUUAUUUUGAAAAAAAUAACAAUUAAUAAUCUACUUAAACAUAACCAAAAGUAUUAUAAUAAUCAAGAAUAAAACAAUAUUAAACUAAAGAAGAUAAACAUGAAUCACAUAGACUCAUCUUUUUUGGGGUAACAUAUUGUAACCUUUUUUUUUCUUUAUAUUCCCUUUCAUAUCGAUGUUCCUCAUGUCUUCAAUUUAACAAUUAAUUUUGCUAAAUGUAUAAUAGUGUGAAAAGCAUCAUGUUAACAAAAAAAAAACAUGAAUUUCCUUAACCACUCGUGGAAAGUAUUGUAAAUAAUGUAUAAAAAAACUUAAUCUUGUUCUCUUUUAAAAAAAUAUACGGUGAAUAGUUGUGGUGUUCUCCCUUGUAUUUAUCAGGGAUUACAUUAUUCUUCUGUAAUAAGAAAUAUGAAGAAAUUAGUCCACAUUAUCUUGUAUUUUUUUUGCUCUUUUCUAUUAUGUUGUCUGAGUUCUGAUUAAGAUUGUUACAUUCAUAAAUGAAUAUUGACCAUUCUCAAAAUUAGACCUCACCAUACUAUUUAUCUUUAUCCAUCGUAAAAUUCUUCAUAAUAAUGAUGUUAAUGUAAAUAAAAAAAAUCUGGAUUCCUUUAAGUCAAUUGGGACAGCAUCAGUUUGGUUUACCUUAUAAACAAAAUAAAAACAAACAACAUUCUUGAAGCAAUCACAAAUUACUAACAUGACUCUUCUAGUUAGUAGGUUCUAAUAGUGAUGUACCACAUUUGUUAUUGUUUGUGUCAUUCACAUUUUAAAUGUCUCAUUUCACUUUUUAAUUGUCUCACUUCACUUUUUAUCAUAAAAUUAAACCUAUUCAUAUCAUACUAAGUGCCUCUAAAUUGUGGUCUAUAAAAAUUGUCUCAUGCCUCUACCAACUGGAAAUAAGUCCUAGUGUUUUUUCAAGCUCACUGUAAAAUCCAGAACUAGAUUACCAGGGUAUCUGUCAUAACUAAGAUAUUACGAUUGUCUAGUGGAGAGAUCAUGUUUAUAACUUCAAGGGGAAAGAAGAAUAACUUCAGGUUUUGUUAGCUUGUUACAGUGAUGAUUUUGUUGAAAAAAGUUGAACUAAAAGUUUAACAAAUUUUUGGUAACGUUUGCAGUUUGGCAAACCAAAGAAUGAUACAUUUUCCAAUUAGCAUUUCAGUAUCAUGUUUUGAUCUUAUUUAUGUUAAUUUACAGCGAUGCUUUGAUCUUAUUUAUGUUAAUGUAUAGGACCUCACUCAGUUUUGAUCUUAUUCAUGUUGACUAUUAAGAAUAUUUUAAUGAUACUGAUGCUCAGUUAUGGGCACUGUCGAUAAUCUUUCAAGAUAUAUUAGGUUAGAAUAUUUAAAAACAUGUUAUAAAGAAUAUACCACAAGUAUAUGUGGCCUAGCUCCUCACAAACUAGGCUACGCUAGGUAAUGAAGCCAAAGGUUGAUUACAAAAAGUCUAUGAAUUCAAGUUUCAAAAACACAUAAAAAGCCAAAGGUAAGACAGAUUAAAAGGGGAAAAACUACAUUUUCAAAAGCACAUCUAGUAACGGGUAACAGUGACUUUCUUUGAAGACACAUCAAUUUGACUCGCAUAAUCAAAACUCUCCACGGCCUACAACAACAUAAAGCCAUAACAGAGAUUACAAGCCUUCAUUAACAACGAUGCAAGACGUUUAUUUCAUAAGACGCUUUUGGAGCCCGAAUUUGAUCAAGCUUCAACAAAAGAACCUUCAAAUCUCCGUUCUUAGUGGCAAUCACCAGGCUUGUAAAUUCAGUUAACAGAACCAAAUUUAAAGGCCAAGGGAGCUGUCAUUUUUAGGGGAAAACAGCGCCUUUCAAUAACAAAAAAAAUCAAUACUUCCAAAAACCAAAUUCGUAUCCGAACAAAGAGUUUUAGACCAAAUGAAAUAAAAACCAUAAUAAAGAAUGGCCUCAGAGGUAGUGACAAUUAAAGAUAUCAUCAUAAACACAUCUGAUGAUACAAACAAAUGAGUACAUCAUUGGCCAAAUCAAUACUAACAGUAUCAAUAAUCAAUAGUACACAUUAUCAAGUCCAACACUCAAAAUUUAGAAGCCAUAACUCUAAUAUGGGGUUAACCCAAACCUAAUUUCAGUAUCAUUCUUCAGCAGUUCAAUAGUAAACAAAGUGAUCAAUAUCGCUUGUAGAACAUAUAAGAUCAUCACAACAUCAUCAACCUAGAUAUUUCUUUUCAAACAGAGCCUUAUACAAGUUGGAGAGUUUCCUAACAAUUAAUUUCUACACAUUCAUCGUGAAAACUGCAUUAUGCAUCAGAGAGAUUCCCAAAGACAAAUCAACAUCCUUAGAAUAAGUACUGAUGUCCCUGUCUUUUAUCGUCAUUUGCAAAUGGUAUAGUUAAAAUUAAAACAAUAAAUUCAAAUGCUUCACUAAAAAAAAAUCAAAAACACAAAAGAAGACAUGAACGCAUCAGAGAGAUUCCCAUUAGACGAAGUCAACAUUCUCCAUAGGAGUGCUGAUGUCCCUGUCUAUUUUGUCGUCAUCUGCGAAUGAAUACUAUAUUUACUGGCUCAAACUAUGGAAUUGAAAGGUUGGCACAAGACGGCAGAACAAAUUUUAAAGCUAGAUCAAAGUCAUACAAGUGAAUUCAGCAAAUCAGAACAACAACAUUACAACUGCAAUUCAAUCACGAAAACAAUCAUAAAAAGGGAGCAAAACCCUUAAAACACUUUACUGUGCUAAUCGUAGAGAUUCAGAAAGAUAAAGCUAGUGCCUCAGAUCGAAGUUGAUUUCAUAGAAAUAAAUCUCGGAGUAUAUUUAACACCAUCAUUGGCACACAGCAAUUAGAGGCAAAUGAAUUGAAAAAAGGAAAAAAAAUGAGACAAAACGAAAGAGAGUUGGAUAGAAGAAACCCUAGACGGAUAUCGCUGCUGCUGUGGAGGUUAGGGUUUCAGAACAAUGGCUUCGUAUAUAUAGAGAGAAAGAGGGGCGAUAGUAUAAGUUAGGGUAUAGGAGACGGAGCCGUUUUGUUCCUUUUACUCUCAUAAAAUCCUGACCGUUGGAUGUACGUGUUUUACCACCCUACAAAUUCACGAUUAAUAUUUUUAAAAAAUGUUUAACCCUGGUUUUUAUCAUUCAUUACUUUUUUAAUUUUUUAUUUAUUAUAUGAGAUGGCUUUUACUUUUAAGAUAUAAAAAACUAUAUUUAUCACUUUGUACUUAAAUUUCUUGUGUUAUUAAUUUUAUUUAAAUAUUUAAGGAAUAGUGGUAAAUUUUAAUAUAUAGUUUUAAAUUUGGUAUCUUAAUAUAAAUUAUAAAUAUUAUAAAAUUAGACUCUUUGAAGGAGAAAUUUAGAUAGUUCUUUACUUAAGUUGAAAUUUAACAUUUUGAUAUAUUAUCAUGAUAAAUAAAUAUUAAGGAAAAACGAAAACUACUUGUAGAAAAAAAAAACAAGGUGAAUUUACUCUAUUUUUUGAAAACAAAAAUUUUAAAUAAGAUUUCACUUUUUAAUAUAAUCGAUUUUUAUUUUAAAUACUUAAUAAUUUGAUUUUUAAAUUAAAUAUAUGACGUAAUGUAAAGAUUUUAAAAAUUGUUUAAGAAUAGAUGUGGUAUAACUAAGAUGGAAUAUGAAUAUUUAUUAUUAAAUUAUAAAGCUUAUAAAUAAAAAAACUGAAUUAUUCAAACUUUAUUUUAAAAUAAUUAUUAUAUUUUUAUAACUUUUUCCCCUUUUUUUUCUCUAACUUCUUUUUAAUAUUCUAACCAAUCUAUUGAUUUUUUUCAAAUAUUAGAUCACAACAUUUCAUAUGAAUUUCAACGGAAAAUAAAACAAGUUUAUUCCAUUAAAAUUUUCUACAUCCUUUUUCUUGAGUCAGUUUUUAGUGUCUAUGUUAGCUGGGAUCAUAUGCUUAAAUCAUCAAUUAUGUUUAAUUUUUUUGUUAGUUACGUAGAGUUGGAAUUUGAUUUCGUCAUGAGCAAGCUAAACAAGUAAGGAACCUACAUGGUUAUAUUAUCUUUGAGUUUUGAGAUUUUGAUUGUUUAAUAUCUUAAUUUUGAUUAGAUAUUGAAAGAUUGAGAUAUGUUGUGAGUAUUUUUUAGGUUUAUGUAUUUACACAAGUUGUUGAUCAAAUUAUUAGGUUUGGUUUUAGUUAAAUUUAUGUUUGAAAGUCUUGAAUAUAUAUAUAUAUAUAUAUAUAUAUAUAUUGAUUUGUGAGUUGAACGAGGAUGCAAGCAAUUUUUUAGCAAAGUAAUAUCACGUUUAUUUUUUCAUCUUUUGAGUUAUAUACAAAAAUUACAAAUUGAUAUACUAAUUUUGGAUAAGGUUUGAAAAAAACUUGUAUUUGCAUUCAAUUCCAUUUUCGCUCAAAUGAAAGAUUAUGGUUUCCUUUGCAUAUUCCUCAAAACCUAGGUUAAUUGUAAAUUAAAAUUCCAAAUGUACGGAUUAAAGGAUUAAAAAAAGAAGUUGGUUAGUUUAAAACUUUUCGUUUAUCUUAAAAGUGCAAAAUAUGAUGCGUACUCUUGGUUGAGAAGUUUGACUCACCAUCCUUAAUAUUUUUUAUGUUUCUAAUAAAUAAAAAAAUUUACUUGGAUUCAAAUCUGAAAUCUGAGUAAAAAUAUUAAAGCACAGUUCUUCAUCUACCAUUACAAUAUUAAAGACUAAUUUGAAACUUUGAUUUCAGAAUAAUAUGCUCUUCAAUAAAAAGCUUGUAUGUGUGCCAAGGGACCAAGGAACAAAUAAACUUUCAAUUUAUAAAACUAUUUAUAAGACCAUUAAAAUAACUUUUGUACAAAAUAAAAAUUUACAGCUUGGAUUAAUCAAUUCCAAAAAUCUACUGGUAAAAGAGUUAGUGAGUUUAAUACUGGUAUGUGAAUAAACUGCAUCCUACAAGUCUUACAAUAUAUACAACUAAUAUUGUCCACUCUUACGAACCUUGUUGACCUCAUAGGUGGAGAGACAAUCUAAUCUGUUUUUGUAGACAUAAUUUGCAAGCAUUUUGUCAUGACUUUAUCAACUAACAUCCUUGUCACUCGAAAUAGGCUAGUAUGAAUAGUUGAGUCAUUGAUUUACUGCAAAAUACAGGAAAUUAGAAACAACCUAAGUCAAAUUGUCUACAAAACAAAAAGUAGAGACUAAAGUCCAACAUAAAGAAUUGAAACACAAUAGAUAUUAUCUUUUGUUUGAGUUCUCUUAAUGCCCAUUUGAGCGAUUUUAGAAAAUUCAAAAUCUACCUUGAAACUAUGAAGUAUGAAUCAUUGAAACAUAAAAGGAUUGCUUACCCUGUGGUAGCCGUUCUCAUUAUACAUGGCAAUACCACAAGACCCCGAAGCUGAAUUCCAAAAUUGAUGUCCAUUUUCGAAUAGUGAACCGGAAAGAUCAAAGUUGUUAACUUGGUAAUCCACGGUGUUUGAUUUGUUGUUCAACGUUGGUAAAUGUUUUGCUUCCUCAAUAUCUUGUGGAGGAGGGAAUGUAAAUUGGUCACAACGUUGUACAUUUAAGUAUGUUGUUCCAUUUAACUCGUUCAUUGCACCACCUCCUUGACCCAAAGUAGUCACUUGGGGAGAACUACCAACUUCAAGUUUGUGGCUCCCAAUAUAACUUGAAUAGCUUGGAAUUGAAAUGUCAGUUGAACACUCAGCGUCUCUAUUGGUAUUAUCACUGUAUGUUGUACAAUUAAAUCAGUAACGAAAUUGAAAGAUGAAUUAUAAGGUACUAUAAAGCAAUCUUAGGAAGAAAAUUUGAUAUAUCAUUAGUUAUAUUAAUUGAAAGACAUAUGUGCUAGCUUGUUAAAAUAUAUAUCUUCAGUGGAAAUAAUCCAGUUCCACACUUCCACUAUCCCACAAGUAGAACAAAGUUAUAUAGACGAGGUAACCCACCUAAAUGGUAGAAAUUUUGGUUCAUUUGGUAACAACAAUUGAUGAUUAUCAUUAUUCAAAAGCCAAGACAGUGGUUGAGAUUCUUGUAGACUUGCCAUCAUCAAGGGUAAUGUCAUCCCUUCCUGUAACUAUGAAGCAACAAAAUACCAAAUAAAUAUUUUGAAAAGAAGAACAGGAAAUAUUAAGAAAGGCAAAAUACAACAUUUACUAUACCUGGUUAGCACAUUCAAGUGAAAUGAAUUGGUGCUUUCCUAAAUUUUCCUGUUAAUUUAAGAAAACAUGUUGACAUGUUAAAAUACAAACCUAGUAUUUAAUUAGUUAUCCAUGGAUUGGUGUAGUGGUAAUUUGAAGAUGACAUAACAAUAUGGGAAGUCUGCAUGAAACAAAAGUCUUACCUUCUGCAGAACCACUCGAUUGAUUGAUUCUCGUAACGAGUCUUCCAUUUGCCUAAGAUGCUCUAAAUUGUUGAUCUUCUCUAGAUUAUUCCAAUAGCUAAAAAGUUGAAAAUUUAAACACAAUAUUAAUUUAUGAUUAUUACUUAAACUUUCAUGAUCCAUAACUCAUGUAUGACAACAUCAAUUU
Molecule: long non-coding RNA, 82657 nt
Filed under: Phaseolus vulgaris (common bean)
Lineage: Eukaryota; Viridiplantae; Streptophyta; Magnoliopsida; Fabales; Fabaceae
Description: long non-coding RNA (PVUL_LNC004143)
Source: RNAcentral